Molecule: long non-coding RNA, 48985 nt
Filed under: Coffea arabica (coffee)
Lineage: Eukaryota; Viridiplantae; Streptophyta; Magnoliopsida; Gentianales; Rubiaceae
Description: long non-coding RNA (CARA_LNC002744)
Source: RNAcentral
GCGGUUGAAGGCGGAGAGAGCCCGCUCAAUGUUGGAGUUGAUGAGCUCGGCUCGGGCACGGUCACUUGCGAGCCGGGAGAGUACGAGGUCGGAGUAGCUGUCGUAUGGCGGCUUUAUGACGGAUGAAUGAGGAUGCAGGGAGAGGGACAAAACGGAGGAGGUGGAGGUGGGCUGAGUUUCUUCUGUUGACAAGAGUCGAAGUCUCUUGAAAACUGAAGCAGACACCACUUGAGGUGAAAAAGGACUGAGGGUGAAGGAGAAGAAGAAGAAGAUGAUGAUGAAGAUGUUAAUGGAAGGAAAUGGGCUUGGAGCUUUUCGAGCCAUGUAAAUGUUUGUGGUUUUUGCCGCAGCAGACAACAAACAAAGAAGACAAGUGAUGAGAAGUUUGGGAGAUGAGCAUGGGUUUAUUAUAUACACGUACGUCGAUCUGCAUGCAGGGCAUCAGUAGCGUAUUACUAUUAUUUAUUAAAGGUACAUAUCACAAAGGUCCAGGGGCGGAUUUAAAGGGGGGCACUGGGGGCACGGUCCCCCACUGCCCCCUUAAAUUCCUAUAAUACUCUUAUAAUUUUGACAUAAUUUUAGUGGUGUCUCUAGAAUUUUUUUUAAAAAAAAUAUAAAAGAAUGGGUCAUAAAAUUUAUAUCAUUCACUUUCCUCCUUUAAGAACCAAAUACCAAUUAUAUCAGUCAUUACUUUUGGUCCCCACUCCCCAAGUUCCCUUUACUCCUGUGGUCCCCUAUUUCACUUCACAACCCACGACUCCUCUUCUUCUGCACCCAACUAACUACUCUUUCUUUUUAUUACUUCAUCCAAUCAUCAUUAAUCAUUUACUUCCUUUGUCCCCCACUCUCCAAUUUUUCUUUGCUCUUCUGGCUCUUAGUUGUCCCCACUGAAAAUGGUCUCUCCCAUCAAAUAGUCCAAUCCUGGUUUUCCUGUCAUGAAAAUGGUGUUGUUGACUUCUUCACGCAGUCACGCAGUGUUCCAUUAAAGGAGUAAGCUUUUUGAAAACCAGGACCUGCUUUCUUCAGUUCAACUGCAAGAAACCAGUCCUUGAAGCUGACUUCUUUCCAAUUAAAUAACGUGAUACGGGGCACAAAGGAAGUAAAGGGACCUAGUCCGCCACUGAUUUGCAACUCUUUUCACCAAUUUUGGGAGACCAUCAAAAUUAGGUUCUAAACAAUUACUUCUUGUUAUUAUUUUAAAUUUGUUUGCAAAUAUAUUUCUAGAGCAUGAGACUAUUACUAUUUUAGAGAAAUUUGAAAAUUGAUUAGUUAAUGUAAUAACUAAUAAAUGGGUUAUUUGAUAAAUAUUUUAACUUGUGAAAUGGUGAUUUUAUAGAUUUAUAAUUUAUAAUUUAUUUUCCUUGAUUAGUUUCUUAUUUGGAGUUAAUGUAAUGAUGAAUAGAGGGCCAUUUGACAUAUAUUUUAACUUUUAAAUUAUUCUUGUAUGGAUCCUUUUGUCUAAUUAAAUUGAUUAGGUUCAUAUAUUGUGAUUAAUGAUUUGAUAUAGUAAUAAAUAAAUAAGUUGUGAUUUGAUAUAGUAAUGAUAUGUUGUGAUUAAUGAUUUAAUAAAUAACUUUAACUUGUAAAAUAGUUCUUGGAUAGAUUAUUAGAUUUUAUUGUACAUUUAAUAUUUUAAUUGGAUUAGUAUCUUAUAUAUUGAUUUUGAUUUCUUUAGCUAUGGAGAGAUAUUUCAAGAGGAAAUCAAUGGAAAAAGAGUCAUCUAAUAAAGAAGAAGCCAAGGAUAAUGAAAGUGCAAAAAAUGACAAUAAAAGAAGUUACUUGGAAAUUAACUUAGAUGAAUUACCUGCGGAUCCAGCCCAAAGAAAAAAAAUUGGGGAUUAUCAUCCAAACCUUCAAGAUGAAAUUCGGAGAUAUUGCUUACAAAAGGGACCAUGUCAACCUCAUGAGCAUGUUUUUCCACAAAGAAAGAUAGGAAAAAAGAUGCGUCGAUUUGUUCGGGGCUGGUUUGAUGAUUACAAGAAUUGGUUAGAAUAUAGUAUUGAAAAAGAUGCCGCUUAUUGCUUAUGUUGUUAUCUAUAUAGACCAGAUGUGGGUGAACAAUCUGGUGGUGAUAGUUUCAUUAAGGAAGGAUUCACAAAUUGGAAAAAAAAAGGAUAGAUUUGAUGUUCAUGUUGGUGGUCCUAAUAGUGCACACAAUCUGAGUUGGAGUAAAUGUCAAAGUUUAUUAAAUCAAAAUCAGCAUAUCGAAGUGGCAUUUUUUAAGCAAUCACAGAAAAUGAAGGCUGAGUAUCGGACUCGUUUAUUAGCCUCAAUAGAUUGUGCUAGAUUUCUCCUACAUCAAGGUUUGGCUUUUCGUGGUCAUGAUGAAUCUGAUACCUCUGAAAAUCAGGGAAAUUUUCUUGAACUUUUGCACUUCCUUACGGGUCAUAAUGAUGAUAUAAAGAAGGUUGUUCUUGAAAAUGCCCCUAAAAAUCUCAAACUCAUUGCUCCAGAUAUUCAAAAGGAUAUUUCAAAUGUUUUGGCGAGUGAGACUACAAUCAUUAUUGUAAAUGACAUUGGACAUGGAUUGUUUGCUAUUUUAUGUGAUGAAUCUCGUGAUGCAUCAACAAAGGAGUAAUUAGCAGUUGUUAUCCGUUACAUGGAUUCACAUGGAUAUGUGAUUGAGCGUUUUCUUGGUAUUCUACAUGUAAGAGAUACUACUGCUCUUUCACUUAAGAAAGCAAUUGAUGAUUUAUUUUCAAAGCAUGGUUUGAGCAUAUCACAAAUCCGUGGUCAAGGUUAUGAUGGUGCUAGUAACAUGCGAGGUGAAUAUAAUGGUUUAAAAACUUUGAUCAUGAAGGAAAAUGGUUCUGCAUAUUAUAUUCAUUGUUUUGCACAUCAGCUGCAAUUCUCACUUGUAAGGGUUGCAAAGAAACAUGUCCAAGUCUCUUCUAUGUAUAAUACAUUGUCUACCUUAGUGCAUGUUCUUGAAGGUUCAUCUAAAAGACAAGAAAUUCUUAGAGAACAACGCCUUAAGAAAGUCGUUGAUGAUCUAAUGACUGGAGAUCUUGUGAGUGGUCGGGGCUUAAAUCAAGAAACUAGCCUUCAAAGAGCUUGUGAUACACGUUGGGGUUCACAUUUUGGCUCGUUAUUAAAGUUGGUUCUUAUGUAUGAUUCUGUAAUAGAUGUUCUUUUGAUAAUUGAAAAUGAUGGCCUGGUGGAGCAAAGAGGUCAAGCAUAUGCACUUCUUAAUUCUUUGCAAUCUUUUGAAUUUGCAUUUAUUUUACACUUGAUGAAGAAAAUCAUGGGAAUAACGAAUGUACUAUCUGAAGCAUUACAAAGGAAGGAUCAAGAUAUUGUGAAUGCUAUGGGUCUGGUCAAAGUUUCUAAGCAACAGUUACAAGCUACUAGGGAAGAUGGAUGGGAUUUUUUACUUGAUGAAGUUUGUUUGUUUUGUGAAAAACAUGAGAUCAUCAUUCCGAAAAUGGAUGAAAUGUUCAUUACUAGUGGGAGAUCUCAAAGAAAAGUUCAGUAAAUUGCAAACCUUCACCACUAUCGAGUUGAGCUAUUUUGUGCUGUCAUAGAUUUACAACUCCAAGAACUCAACAAUCGUUUCAAUGAAAUCAAUAUGGAGUUGCUUUUGUGUAUGGCAUGCUUGAACCCAAGUGAUUCCUUUGCAGCAUUUAAUAAGAAAAAGUUGAUUCGUCUUGCAGAACAUUAUCCUUGUGAGUUUUCUAAGUUGGAUAUUCUUGCACUUGACACUGAAUUGGAUACUUAUAUUAAUGACUUGAAAUCAGCUAAGGAAUUUCUCGAUUUAAGAAAAAUCCCUGAUCUAGCUCAAAGGUUGGUGGAGACUAAGAGAGAUAUUGUGUAUCCAUUAGUUUAUAUGCUCUUAAAGUUGGCUUUGAUUUUGCCUGUUGCUACAGCUACAGUAGAAAGAGCUUUUUCAGCUAUGAAUAUAGUGAAGAAUCGGUUACGAAAUAGAAUGGGAGACACUUGCAUAAAUGAUUGUUUAGUUACUUAUAUUGAGAAAAAUAUACUUCGUGAAGUUGAAAAUGAGAAAGUUGUAAAUCGUUAUCAAAAUAUGAAAACUCGUCGUGAACAAUUGUAAAUAGUUUAGUUUGUUUUUGAAAUAAAAUUAUUAUUACAUUAAUAAUUUUGAGUUUGUCUUUUUAUGUUUUUCAUGGAAUAUACAUAUCAUUUGUACUUGUUAGUGAAUUUAUUUAUUUUUUGCUCAAAAAAUUAAAAAAAAAAGAGUAGAUAAAAAAUUUUAGUGUUAUUUUUGCUCCCACUGAGAUUUUUUUCUGGCUCCGGCACUGCAAAGGUCCAUAUCAUUUAAUUUCCAUAGAAAAGUAAAAGUUUGGUACCUUAACAUACACAAUUAAUCACCAGUCCUUCAAAUCAAGAUAUGUACAAUGUGUAAGUGAGAAUGUACAACUGAUAUUCCUAGUCUACUCUACGAGUAUCGUUACCGUAUGAAAGAAAAGGAAAGAACGAGAAGAUUUUAACAACCUUUAGUAGGCUUUUUUUUUUAAUCGACAUUUUGAGUUCUGGGAGGGAAGACUUUUUAGAGUCUUGCAGGAGUCCGUCUAAAGGGUAUUUGGAAAAUUCGACUGUCUAAUAAUCGAAUACAAUGGUGGUUCUUUCUUUCCUUUUUUUUCCUUUUUUUUUUUUUGAAUAUUUGGUACAUAGAGGUUCCAACUUUUACAAGGAGAAAGAAAAAUAGGAGAGUUUAAGGGUCAAGACCUUACGGUCAGUCACCUAAAAGCAUCCGUGCCAAUUGAGUUGAGUUUUGGGAACAAAAUUUUGGCCUUUCCAUUAUAGCAGGAUACAACUAAAUGCCCGGAUUAAUUAACUCAAUUUCCAUAAAUUUAAAAAAAAAGAGUAAGAAAUUGGUACCUCUGAUCAAUUCCAAGGGUAGAUAUAUAAUAUAAUUAUUAGUCCUUCAAAUGGAGACGAGUGUCAGUAGACUUAAAAGGAGUCCAUGAUAUUGAUAGUUGGUCUUUUGGUCACAAUAAUUAUUUCGAGAUGUUUGAUUCUUACUACCCGCCACCACUACUACCCGCCACCACCACCCACUCCUUCCUCCUUUCUCUUCCCCCUCUCUCUUCCCUUUCCCUCCCCCCGCCCCCCUUAAUCUGGCCGCAACCAAAGGCUGCGAUCUGGUCGCGGCCAGAAAGUCUGGUAGCGACUAGAUUGCGGCCUCUAGUCACAACUAGAGACCUUGAUCUGGUCUUUGGCAGAUUGAGGGAGGAAGAAAAUGGAGGGGGGGUAUUGGUGGUAGGCGGGGAUGGUGGUGGGUGGUGGGUGGUGGUGGCGGGUAGUAGUGGUGAUACGUGGAAAAUGUUAUAUAAUUCAAUUUAAAAAAAUUUUUUGUGUGUAUUUGUGAAUUAUUUUUUAUAUAUUGUAUGGAUAUGAUGUUUUUGAGUUGUUUUUAUUUGUGUAUUAUUCUAACAUUGUAUUUGAAAAUUUUAUUUUUGAAAAAUAGAUUUUUGGAUUUUUUGGUAGAAAAAUAUACUAUAUCAAUUUGAUGUAUGUGAGAUAAAAAUAAGUGUUUGAAAAUAUGAUCAUGAAAAAUAUAAAAAAAAUUCUGCAGAAAAACUUCAAGGAAUUUCUCGAGAAAAAGAAAUCCAAAAUCCUAAUUUUUUUUUCCUUUUGUUUUUAGAAAAGGAAAAAGUGCAAGCCAAAAAGCAAUAAAAUGGAUAACUUCUUUUCAUAUGAAUAUAUGAUGUUAAGUACUUUAUUUACUCAUAAAACCCAUAUUUUGGUUUAAGAAAAGCAAUACCUAAUGAAAUUGUAAAAUGAGAACGGUAACAAAGAUUAUAGUCUAAAGUACUCGUUUGAUAGGCUAGUGCAAUUUGGCGUUUCACUUGUACGCUUCAAAUGCACAUUAUCAAUCAGGCAUCCGGACGCUUGGCUAUGCAACUUGAACAAUCAUCACAUGUAGAACUGACUUUAUUCUAGUAUUUUAUAGGAAAAUAUGUACUCAAUUAGCCUGAAGUGAAUUAAAUCAUGAUUGUCAGCAUUUUAAACUUUUGAUGGUGAAGGCCUUAAUUGCUUGACAACUCCCAUGAUUAUUAUGGCUAAACUACUCAAGUUGCCUCGUUAUACUUCCAAAAAAAAAAAAAAUCUCAAUUCAAUCUUAACACUAAGAAGUGACUUGAUUUAAUCCCUUGGAAAUAACUCAUGUCAUUUUUAUGUUGAAUUAGUAGCCAAAAGAUUUAAUCGUGUAUUUUCAAUAGAACGGGGUGUAUGUGUUAUAUCAACGAUAUAUUGUUGAUGAUCAGACUAUAUGAAUUCCAAUUCUUUCAGCAAAGGUGAUAUCCAAACAACAAAAUUUCUUCAAAGACAUCUAAUAAAGAGAUUACCAAGCACCCAUGUUAUUGUUUAAGCAAUAUUAGUAUGUUUUCAUAAACAGCAUUUUAUUUGGGUUGAAAUCAAAUCAACACCUAUAUGCAUUUCAUAAACAGCAUUUUAUGAGGGAUGAAUGAGGAUGUAGGGAGAGGGACAAAACGGAGGAGGUGGAGGUGGGCUGAGUUUCUUCUGUUGAGAAGAGUCGAAGUCUCUUGAAAACCGAAGCAGAUACCGCUUGAGAUGAAAAAGGACUGAGGGUGAAGAAGAGGAAGGAGAGGAUGAUGAAGAUGUUAACGGAAGGAAAUGGGCUUGGAGCUGUUCGAGCCAUGUAAAUGUUUGUGGUUUUUGCCGCAGCAGACAACAAACAAAGAAGAGAAGUGCUGAGAAGUUUGGGAGAUGAGCAUGGGUUUAUUAUAUACACGUACGUCGAUCUGCAAGCAGGGCAUCAGUAGCGUGUUACUAUUAUUUAUUAAAGGUCCAUAUCAAAAAAAAAAAAAAUUUUUUGAUAACAAAGGUCCAUAUCAAUUUAAUUUCCAUAGAAAAGUAAAAGUUUGGUACCUUAACAUACAAGAAGGAGAGUACAUACACAAUUAAUCACCAGUCCUUCAAAUCAAAGAUAUGUACAAUGUGUAAGUGAGAAUGUACAACUGAUAUUCCUAGUCUACGAGCAGGGGCGGAGCCAGAAAAAAUUCUUAGUGGGGCAAAGCAACACUAAAAUUUUUUACCUACUAUUUUUCUAGUUUUUUAAACAAAAAAAAAAUUCACCAACAAGUACAAAUGAUGCAUAUAUUCCAUGAAAAACAUAAAAAGACAAAUUCAAAAUUAUUAAUGUAAUAAUAAUUUUAUUUCAAAAAUAAAUUAAACUAUUUACAAUUGCUCACUGCGAGUUUUUAUAUUUUGAUAACUAAUUUGGUUGUGGAAGUAAGAAUGGCUCUCGGUUGUGGAGGGAAAAUGGGGGACUAGUGGAGGGAAGGGAAAUUGGAAAGUGGGGACAAAGGAAGUGAAUGAUAUGAUUGGAUGAAUUGAUCAAGAGAAAGAGUAACUAGCUGCUUGGUUGUGGAAGGUAGUGGCUCUCGGUUGUGGGGGGAAAAUGGGGGACCAGAUGAGGGAAGGGAAAUUGAGGGAUAGGGUCCAAAGAAAGUGAAUGAUAUGAUUGGUACUUGCUAGUUAAAAUGAAAAUGAUUUUUUUUAGCUUAUUUCAAAUGAAAUUUGUGCCCCAGGUAUCAUUUUAGAAUUUUAGUUUAUGAACUAAUUUAAAAAAAUCACGUAAUUCUUUCAUAUUCUUCUAAAAAAAAAACUGUAGGGGUACAUUUAAAAUUAUAUUAAAAUUGUACAAGUAUUAUAGGAAUUUAAGAGAGACAGUGGGGUCCCGUUGCCCCCAGUGCCCCCAUCAAAUUGGAAUUUACGGUGGAAACAAGGUAGAUGCGCCGACGGCAGCUGGUGUUUCAUUUUCAUGAUGCAGACUGGGGAAAUUUUGGAGCAUUAUGCAUCCAUGCCAUUAGAUAUAUAGUGGGCUUGAUGUUAUACAAUGCAAAUUUUCUUUAAAAAAAAACUUUAAAUCAAAAUAAAUCUUGACCUAUCAAUUAUUGAUUUAAGCUAUCAAAACAUUGGCAUGUAACAUGCAAAUAAUCGUUGCUCAUAGGGCAUCAUUCCUUUCCGUCUCACACGCAGAUUAGUCCAUUGGUGGUUCUUUCUUUCCUUUUUUUUUUUUUUUUUUGAAUAUUUGGUACAUAGAGGUUCCAACUUUUACAAGGAGAAGGAAAAAUAGGAGAGUUUAAGGGUCAAGACCUUACGGUCAGUCACCUAAAAGCAUCCGUGCCAAUUGAGUUGAGUUUUGGGAACAAAAUUUUGGCCUUUCCAUUAUAGCAGGAUACAACUAAAUGCCCGGAUUAAUUAACUCAAUUUCCAUAAAUUUAAAAAAAAAGAGUAAGAAAUUGGUACCUCUGAUCAAUUCCAAGGGUAGAUAUAUAAUAUAAUUAUUAGUCCUUCAAAUGGAGACGAGUGUCAGUAGACUUAAAAGGAGUCCAUGAUAUUGAUAGUUGGUCUUUUGGUCACAAUAAUUAUUUCGAGAUGUUUGAUUCUUCGUAAUGUGGAAUAACUUUCCUCCAGACAUUCUAAAGAAACAUGAUGGAACAAGUUGCUGUUUGUGAGGUCGUAUUAAUCCUGGUGGGAACCUCUCUUGCGCAAGGAUUUUUGGGUAAUGAAUUGAUCUUUCCACAAAAACAAGUAUUUUUAUGUUUUCCUUCAUUUGUGUUCAAUUCAAUUCUCUAUAAUAUAUAUUAAUAGUACUAUUUAUCUAGAGGGGGCACCUUCAUGAAUGGACUAUCUCUAGAGGUUCUCCUUCACAUUUGACGCGCAGAUUACGCCAUUAGGCAAUUCGGGCGACUGAGCGGUCAACACAAGGCGACAUCAAAACAGUUGCGCAUUUGGCCCACCAGUACUAUGCAACCAAUCAAACUACUCCGGUCUUGAUUUAUUUUCUUCAGUUUCCAUUUCAUCUACUUCUCCACUGAACCUCUAGAGAAAGCUCAGUCGUUAACUUUGCUUGUCUGUUCAAACGUCUAACAUCAAAAUUAGAAUUUAAAUCAAAACCUUAAAGUGGGAACAAAGUGCCAUCUUUUAAAAACAAAAAAAAAACUAAUACAUCGAAACGUAAAAUUGAUAUAAUAGAUGGGAGAAAUUUCUUCGAAACUCCAAAAUGUGAUUCUCGAGUAGAUUAAUGCAAGUCUUAUAAAUUGAUUACAUUUUCAAUCAAUUCAAUUUCAGGGUAAACAUGCAACAUGCCCAAGUAUAGCUCUGCCCUGGUUUUCACGGUACAACCACUUUUUCGUUCUCAAAGAAGUCAUUAGCAUACUAAAGAAAGAAAAGGACCUAAAAGGAAAAAGAAAAGGAUCUAAUUAUACUAAGAAUCACAAAAGUUAGUUUGGUUGAGAAAAGGAAGUAGUACUUUAGAACAAACAAAGGUAGACGAUGAGAUCCUCAAAAUAUCAUAACUAUGAAAACAUUUAGUAUAUAUUUAUAUAUAUGAAGAACAACAUUUAUUUGGGUUGAAAUCAACUAUAUAUACAUAUAAAUAUAUAUAUAUAUAUAUAUAUAUAUUCUAGUAGUAGCACUAGAGGGAGGGAGUGCUCUAACAUUUAUUGGCAAGGUCGUAAGUGACCCGCAUCCCUUGCUGCUGUAUAUUCCCAAGAAGAAAUCCAAAAUCCUAAUUUUUUUUUCCUUUUGUUUUUAGAAAAGGAAAAAUGAAAGCCAAAAAGCAAUAAAAUGGAUAACUUCUUUUCAUAUGAAUAUAUGGUGUUAAGUACUUUAUUUACUCAUAAAACCCAUAUUUUGGUUUAAAAAGAAAAGCAAUACCUAAUGAAAUUGUAAAAUGAGAACGGUAACAAAGAUUAUAGUCUAAAGUACUCGUUUGAUAGGCUAGUGUAAUUUGCCGUUUCACUUGUACGCUUCAAAUGCACAUUAUCAAUCAGGUAUCAGGACGCUUGGCUAUGCAACUUGAACAAUCAUCACAUGUAGAACUGACUUUAUUCUAGUAUCCUAUAGGAAAAUAUGUACUCAAUUAGCCUGAAGUGAAUUAAAUCAUGAUUGUCAGCAUUUUAAACUUUUGAUUGCGAAGGCCUUAAUUGCUUGACAACGCCCAUGAUUACUAUGGCUAAACUACUCAGGUUGCCUCUUUUUAUACUUCCAAAAAAAAAAAAUUUAUCUCAAUUCAAUCUUUAACACUAAGAAGUGACUUGAUUUAAUCCCUUGGAAAUAACUCAUGUCAUUUUUAUGUUGAAUGAGUAGCCAAAAGAUUGAAUCGUGUAUUUCCAAUAGAACGGGGUGUAUGUGUUAUAUCAACGAUAUAUUGUUGAUGAUCAGACUAUAUGAAUUCCAAUUCUUUCAGCAAAGGUGAUAUCCAAACAACAAAAUUUCUUCAAAGACAUAUAAUAAAGAGAUUACCAAGUACCCAUGUUAUUGUUUAAGCAAUAAACAGCAUUUUAUUUGGGUUGAAAUCAAUUCAACACCUAUAUGCUUUUUAACAUUUAUUUGGGCUGAAACCAUACAUCUUGUUGGCAAGGUCGUAAGUAACCCGAAACCCCUGCUGCUGCGUGUUGCCAAUUACUGAGCGAGGUUGAGAAGUGGUCUGGAAAGCCAAACAGAACGUGCCGUCGGAAUCAGCACGAAACAGGUAAUUUUGAGGUUUCAGCGGCAGCGUCUUGCCCCCGGAGAACUGAAACGACAUCAUUGGGAAGCCAUCUCUGGUAGGCGUAGAGGAUAGAUCAUAACAAGUGUCGAGACCACCGAUCCCAGCGGCGGGAGGCAACUUUUUAGCGUACUUAACAAAGGUGUCGCGGACCGAGUUAUAUACCUGAGCUGGCAACGCUGUGAUGGUGGUACCCGAGUCGACGAUGAUUCCCCCACGCCCAUCUUCGCCUAUUUGAUAAGCCGAUGCAGGAAUGGGCACUUGUUCUCCAUUAAUGGUGAUCCCCGUGAGUUCCACGUAGUAAUAAAUCUCAGAUUUUGGGUUCAUAAUCAAAGGAACGAGGAUUGAGUCACCAGGUGGAGCUGAGUUAAACUCGAGAGUCGAGGACGAGCUGGAGUCCAAAUCCACGAGGCAGUAGGAGAAAGACUUCGCCUGAAUUUGAGAAGGAAAGCCUACUGCAGUGCCCCCAAGGCCGAGUAUGCCAGCUGCCUUGCCAAAUUGGCCUUGAUUCGCGUGCCCGCACCCGAUAGCCACUUUCUGAACCGAACCCGAACUCCCGAACGACACCGUUUCAGUGGCAAAUUCUCCAAUACUGAUGGAAUUAUCCCCGUACAACGCUCCGUAGAUGCAAGUGUUGUUUCGGCCGCACUGGUAAUUCUGGCGGCUCAAGGCGGUGCACUGCUGCGAUGUGCAGGAUAAAGGGCUGUAAGACGAGGAUCCGGAUGGGUCGAAUAUCGGGUCGGUUUGGGCGUAGCACUGACCGCAGGGCAGGCAUUGGAGCCAGUUGAUUUGGCUGCCCGUAUCCGCUAUCAGGUAGUAUUCUUUCACGGGUUGGCCCACUCCGACCCGAGCCACGUACCCUCCGCCAGACGGAGUCAGCGGAGCUUCGAGGUCCUCCGGUUGGACUUGGACGUCGGGUUUGACGUCAUGAGGGCGGUUGAAAGCGGAGAGAGCCCGCUCAAUGUUGGAGUUGAUGAGCUUGGCUCGGGCCCGGUCACCUGCGAGCCGGGAGAGUACGAGGUCGGAGUAGCUGUCGUAUGGCGGCUUUAUGACGGAUGAAUGAGGAUGCAGGGAGAGGGACAAAACGGAGGAGGUGGGCUGAGUUACUUCUGUUGAGAAGAGUCGAAGUCUCUUGAAAACUGAAGCAGAUACCGCUUGAGGUGAAAAAGGACUGAGGGUGAAGGAGAAGAAGAAGAAGAGGAUGUUAAUGGAAGGAAAUGGGCUUUGAGCUUUUCGAGCCAUGUUUGUGGUUUUGGAGCAGAAGAGAAGAUGGAAGAGAAGUGAUGAGAAGUUUGGAACGAGCAAGGGUUUAUAUACACGUACGUCGAUCUGCACGUAGGGCAUGUGGUUAAUUAAGACAAGGCUGCAUUCACAUUUUAUUUAUUUAUUUUUUUGUUGAGGAUAAGUUCAAAUUGAAUUACGGUAGAAAACGAUGAUCAGACACAACCAGACGCUUCUUCCCUGAAGAAAUGAAGAGAAAAUUAAAGUAGUAGCAGUUGCUUAACGAUAGUACGUAGUAAUUCAGAUGCUUCGUAUAUAUGGAGAAGCAGUCUGAAAAAAUGGCCCCUCACAAAUAUCACCAUAUUAACCAUCCUCUUUUAACUUUUUAAGAGCGAAGACUUAGAGGAGCGUAGACAUGAUAGUUGGUCCUUCUGGUGGGCAUUGGUCACAAUAAUUAUCUUAAUUAUGGCAUUGAAUAUGAUGGAAAAUUGGAAUUGCAGUGGCUAGGGAACAAGAAGGCUUUGAAGGUAGAUGGACGAACGGCAACAGACAACUCAGUUUGAUCUUUGAUGAAGAGCAAAUAUAUAUUGGCUCGGCUGCAGGGUUAUACCUAAUUAGAAAUAAUUAGGGUUAAUAUAAAAAAAAAAAAAACCCACAGAAAAUUGCCAUCUGCCAAUCACACUGAUUACUGUGACUUCCUUGUUUCCGAUAGUCAUGCCUUCGUUAUCUAUAGUUAAAUGGUGGGUGCUAUGGAUUAAUAUAUAUAUAUAUAUAUAUGCAAGUAAUAAUUUUUCGUAAAGAAAUGUUUAAGGGUUUUACGUAAAAACCCUUAAAAAAAAAAGAAAUCUUCAAAGGUUUUACAUGCAAAUUCUUUCCCCAAGAGUUGUGGAACACAAGGAAUUACGUGGCUCUCUAAACUCACCACUUGGGAUCCUCGGUGACAUGUUUUUUAUGCCAACCCAAUGUCACCAAUAGUGUUACGCCAAGUGUCUUGUUAUUAAUUACACUUUAAUUUUCUAAUAAUUCAACUUGGCUUGAUUUAACACAAAUAUAAAUAAUAACAAGACACUUGGCGCAAUACUAUUGGUGGCAUUGAAUUGGCAUAGAAAACAUGUCACCGAUGAUCCCAAGUGUAAACUCACACGGUCCGCAAUUUUACCUGCAUGGUCCAGGUCCAUCUCUAAGAAGAAGAGACAGUACAAUUGUAAUUUUUUUUUUUGUAUAAUAUAAUGAAUGCGAUGGCCCUUUCUUUGAACAGAGAAAAAUUCUGCAAAUACCGUAGACGUUCAUCUUGACAUAUAAGCCAUACUUGAAAUCAAAGUAAUAUCCCAUGCAUCAGAGCUUACUAGCUAGUAUUAUUGAUUUGAACAAUAAAAUCAAGGGAGUGGAGUGUAAAAUUCAGAUAAUCGUUUUUCAUGCCAUGCAGAUUAGGCCAUUAGGCGAGUAAGCGGUCAACGGUAAUCAAAACAGUUGCACAUUUACAAUUUAGUCCACUCGUCAACCAAUCAGACCAUUUCUUCUUCUUCUCCAUUUGAUUUAACCUAGAGAAAGUCUAGUCGUCAUUCGUUAAUGCUCUUUCUAGUUUAAAUGUCUUAACAGGAUUGAAUUAAAACAUAAAAUGAAACGAAAUUCUCCCUUUUGCUUUUCUUUUCUUCUCUUCUUUUUUUUUUUUUAAAAUUUGGGGAUAAUUUCAUUCAAUGAAAAUUGCACUAAUAGCAGUAAAUAACAUCAAAAUGUGCAAGGAAUGCAACAGACAGAAGGAAUUUUCUUCUAUUUCGAAGAAUUAAGACAAUCCAAAUUGUGAUUCUCAAAUAGACUAAUGCAAGUUUCAUAAACUGAUUAGAAUUUUGAAUUAUUAGCUCUAUUUGCUAGUAAGAAAAAAAAACACCUAGACCAAAGCAAUAGAAGAGAAAGAACGAAAGGCCAACUAGAAAAUUACUAUCAAGUUAAAGUUGUAAAUUUCCGUUGAUAUUAUCAAAUAUUAUCAAGUUUCAUUAAACUAAGGUUGUACACUUCCGUUAUUUCUAUUGGCCGAUUAUCAAAGUGGCGAUGUCAAAGACAAUAUCAAUCAGGCUGUCGGUCUAACUUAUUUCAUUUAACGAUUUGUUUUAUGUGUUGAAUCAUUCUGCAAGCAAAGCCAAUGGCGACUAGUCGAUCAAUCAGACAUCCAAAGAAGUUAACCUUCUUUGCAAGCUGAUGUGACUGCCAAGAACCAGAUCCGAACUGAGCUGUAUCGAGCCGAGCUGAUCAGGCGCAAGCGACCUAGAAGUGGAAACCGAGCUAAUGCACCUACAAAGAAAGAUCAAGUGCGGGACUGGUGUCCCCGGAAUAACUCCGACGGCCAAGUUAGUCAAGCUUGUCCACGGAGUAAUAGUAGAGAAUACUUGUGUAUGCGUACCUUGUAUUGUCCCUAGGCAUGGUUUAUAUAGGGCAGAGUGGGUUGUAGUUUCCUUGUGGAAGUCAGAAUCCCCGUAGGGUUCGGAGUCUUCUUAGGGUUUCGUGCGGCGGCUCCUACAAGUUCGGAGGCGGCGGCCCAUAGGCCCAUCUCAGGGAUCGACAAGUAAGGCCGAGCUGGCAUCCACAUGCCGAGCUAGCGCCUGCGAGUCGUGAGGUCUCCACCGUCGACCUGACGCGCACAACCUGCUGAGCUGACACGUGUCACGUGCAGAUUUGCCCCACUACACUAGCCCCCUUGAGUCUAGAGUCACUGAUGAGUCACGUGGGUCUGGACCAAACUUCGAAGCGUCACGUCGGCUUCGUGCGGGACCCACGAUCCCACGAUCACGUACCUCCUCCGAAAAACUGCCACGUCCGCCGUCGUAACCGUCACUUCAAGGGUCACGUCCGUCAUGAUGGAGGUUUGUCAGCUCAAGCGUCUUCCAAGGUAACCGCCCCCUUGCAAUAAGUUCGAAUUUCUUUCUCAGGACUCUUCGGCUUCCCGCCCAGGGAGCCUAUAAAUAGGCCCCACCAAACGUCACUUUCAAGCCUCCCCUCUCAUUUUCUCUUCUCCUCCAGUCUUCUUCAGCUCGCUCCGCAUUCCGUGAGGUCGUCCGAGAGUAGGAUUACCUUCUAAGCACAUCCCAGCUCUUCUCCUUUAUCCACCAGUAAGUCCUCCUUUUCCUUUUAUGUCGUCUUCCUCCACACACUCAGACCUUACCAGCUCAGCACCUAGGCGUAGGAUUACCCGACCUGCACUCAUAGAAAUACCUUCCUCCAGCUCCUCUUCUUCCAGCUCGUCUGAUUCUGAAUACCUUCCUCCCCCAGCCCCACCUCUUGCUAUAGCCAUGGACCAACCUGGCCCAUCUGCUCAGCCCGGGGCUGGAGCUACUGUCCCAGGGAUUCCUCUGGAGGUAGUUCCAGCUCGCUCUAGGGCAGGACCCCCUAGGGGGCCAGACAUCGACUUUGGAGAAGUCGAAAUUAUUCCCCCCCUUCUCGACCAGGGAGACGUAGAUGAGCUAGUGGGGAGGUAUGACAUCCUUCCCCAGUUCGAGGCUAGGGCAGCCCGGCCAGGGGAGUAUGCUUGCCUACCUCCCCCUGGGUUUGUAACUAUCUACAGGGAUCAGCUCGUGGCUGGUCUUCGCCUUCCCAUUCCCUACUUUCUUUAUGACAUCCUAACCUUUUGGGGCAUUUGAAUCACCCAGGUCGUUCCCAACGCCAUUCGGUCCAUCCUCGGCUUCUUUAUUUUGUGUCGAGCUCUUGAAAUCCCUUAUUCUCUGGACCUAUUUAGGUCUUUCUUUCAGAUGAAGGUAAGCGGCCCAGUUCAUGGUUGGUUCUACUUCGCUCGCAGGAGCGGAGGGGAACUCCCUACCCGCGAGCUGUUCACUCAUAUGCCUUCUUCCAUCAAGGGCUGGAAAGCCCAGUUCUUUUUUGUGAAGAAUACUGGGUUUCCUCCCCUAACUUGGAGGGAGGAUACCCAGGUGACCGAUCCAAUCCCUUCUCCCCUGCCCGAGGCCGAGCUAGACCGCUUGGUCAGCUCGGAAGCUCAACUGAAGGUGAAGGAAUUUAACAAUGCCCAACUCUGGUCGGCGGGGCUAAUCCGAGCAGAGGUGAACGACCCUGCCCCCGAUCUCCGACCUAUCACCCCCGAGGAGCUGACAGCUUGUAAUUUUCUCGACUUCCUCCUUUUCAUGAGUCCACACCAUCCUAACUGACUAAGUGUUUCUGUCCUGCAGUGAAGAGGUUUUCCCAGCUGCUGAACAUUGGCGGAAUUGGUAGCGCGAGCACGCCAACUCCUGCGCCUUCCACAGCGCCGAGCAGCACGGUGCCUCCACCUCCACCUGUGUCCACUCCCCAAAUUGCCGCUCAGUCUUCACUGGGGGAGGGAUCAAAGAAGAAAAGAAAGAAGUCCACGGCCAAGAAGGCCAGGACAGAGGCGGCUUCCCCCCAGUCCCAGGAGGAGCCCUCUACUGCCAUUGCCUCUCAUUACGGGGUGAGCUCCGCCGAGCAGCAGGCCUCGUCACAAUCUCCCCCUGCUAUGUGGCGUAUGAGGAAUGUAAUUCCCAUGAAGCCCCCUACCGAACUGGGCUCACACCCACACCCCCUCCAUUUCUGCCCGAAGUGGGGGCUGUCGGUGAACGACCGAGCUCAGUUCCCUGAAGUGGCGAAGGAGCUCGUCAAGGGCGCUGUACUCCCCCGCGAUCACCACUUCAUCCAACUUGCCACCAAUGCUGAGCUGCUAGAGCACUUCUACCUCAGCACCACCCAGGUAGCUUCUUAACUAGCACUUUCUUUGGCACCCUUUCGAGUUUUGCUGCCUACUUAUCCUGUAACUAAUAUGCAGCUCAAUGUUACGGGGGCCGAGCUGGCUCAGCGAUAUGAGAACAUGGGGGUCAACCUGUCCCAGGUUGACGCUGCCAAAGAGAAGCUGUCCAGCCAGCUCGAGGCUGCAGAGACCGAGCUGGAGACCCUGAAGAAGCAACUUGCAGAUGCCAACUCCUCCUGCGAACUGGAAAAGAAGAAAGCGGCCGAACUGGCUGCGACUUUGGAGGCAGAGCAGAAAAAAUCUGCCGAGCUGGUGGAGGCGGCAAGGGAAGAGGGGCGUCAGCAGGGCGUCCAGGAGUUCAAGAAAUCUGAACGCGGACGACCUCACGGAAUGCGGAGCGAGCUGGAGAAGACUGGAGGAGAAGAGAAAAUGAGAGGGGAGGCUUGAAAGUGACGUUUGGUGGGGCCUAUUUAUAGGCUCCCUGGGCGGGAAGCCGAAGAGUCCUGAGGAAGAAAUUCAAACUUAUUGCAAGGGGGCGGUUACCUUGGAAGACGCUUGAGCUGACAAACCUCCAUCAUAAAGGACGUGACCCUUGAAGUGACAGUUACGAAGGCGGACGUGGCAGUUUUUCGGAGGAGGUACGUGAUCGUGGGAUCGUGGGUCCCGCACGAAGCCGACGUGAUGCUUCGAAGUUUGGUCUAGACCCACGUGACUCAUCAGUGACUCUAGACUCAAGGGGGCUAGUGUGGUGGGGCAAAUCUGCACGUGACACGUGUCAGCUCGGCAGGUUGUGCGCGUCAGGUCGACGGUGGAGACCUCACGACUCGUAGGCGCUAGCUCGGCAUGUGGAUGCCAGCUCGGCCUUACCUGUCGAUCCCUGAGAUGGGCCUAUGGGCCGCCGCCUCCGAACUUGUAGGACCCGCCGCACGAAACCCUAAGAAGACUCCGAACCCUACGGGGAUUCUGACUUCCACAAGGAAACUACAACCCACUCUACCCUAUAUAAACCAUGCCUAGGGACAAUACAAGGUACGCAUACACAAGUAUUCUCUACUAUUACUCUGUGGACAAGCCUGACUAACUUGACCGUCGGAGUUAUCCCAGGGACGCCAGUCCCGCCCCUGACCUUUCCUCGCAGGUACAUCAGCUCGGCUCCCUCUCUCAGGCUAGCUGCGCCUGACCAGCUCGGUUCGCUACAGCCCAGCUCGGAUCUGGUUUUGGCAGUCACAUCACAAGCAUUUUUGUGGAAAAUGAAACAGCGAAUGGAAUGGAAUGGUUGUACAAUUCCCUCCUUGCCAAGUAAUUGAUUUCCUGAUAGUUCCCCCAAAACGAUGUCGACUAUCAACGAAGUACAUCAUAUAUACCGUGUUUACUAAUCGAAAGAACGAUUAUUUUUCUUAUCUAAUGUAUAUCUGAUCAUGUAUAGAUGCAUGACUCAUGUACGUUUUAAAUUUUAUAUCUAUAACAUGUAUUUAAAUUCGUUAAUAUAUACGUACGCUGUCAGUGUACAAAAUAUAUUUAUUAAAACAAAAUUUUUAUAAAUUUCUCAAGUUCAUUAUCAUGUUUUCAUGACUAAGUUAACCGAUGAAAAAAGGCACUCAAUUGACGGAACUUUUAAUAAGAAAAGCACUAUGAACAUGUAAGGCAGAAAUCAACGAUAUGGAUAUUAAAGCAUUGAAAUGGAGGAAUCUUCAUCGAUCAUAUCAGAAACCGAAUUAUAUUAGACUAACUUUGUACCGGUGUUACUUGACAUUCCGACGAGUGGAGAUGGAAAAUAAUGUGAACGUCCAGCCAAAUAAUUUGGUGGGGAUAACAAACUGAUGCGAUGUCCAAACCUGGCAAAAAGCAUUGGACCUCUAUUGUCCUUGUCGCCCCAACAAUUUCAAAAUUGAGUUUUGUCUGUUACAAAUUAGUUUACACGAUUCUUAUUACAUUUAGUGUAAAUUUAUCCCAUAAUCGCUUGUCCUAGGUUACUAAAGACUUAUUCUUGAUUGAUUACUUUAGCUAUAUAUUUAUGGAUUCUGACGUUAGAUAAUCAAUUUUUUUGAUAUUUUUGUUUAUUUUAAUUAUACAAAUUUUUUAUUUUUAAUAUUAAAAAACUAAAUUUCAUAAUCAAUCAAAAAAAUAAAUUUUACUAAUAUUCUCAUUAUUCUCUAUAGUCAUUUUUUUUUAAAUCUUAAUCUGAUUUUGUAAAAUCUGAAACCAAGCAGUAUUAGUAUGAAUUUACUAAUAUUUUGGUUCCAAUUUCUUCGGAUGUCCUCUCGAAGGAAGGGACAGUAUUUUGGUUCAAAUCAAAUAUAUUCUCGUACUAGCAAUAAGAGACGGUGCUCAUGGUCUUAACAUUGAUUCGGACUAAAACCAAUCAACUUAUUGGUAAGGUCGUAAGUGACCCGCAUCCCUUGCUGCUGUCUGUUCCCAAUUAUUGACACCCGUUCCGAAGACACCCGUUCCGAACUGCCGGUGAAAGCCAAACAGUGCUUGCCACUGGUAUCAACACGAAUCAAAUAAUUUGCAGGCCUCAGCGACAGUGUUUUGCCCCCAUGGAAUUCAAACGACAUCGUUGGAUAGCCAUCUGUGGGUUCAGAUGAUAGAUCAUAGCAAGUGUCAAGUUUAACUGGACCAUAGUCGAACCCGCUCGCGGGAGGCAAGGCUCGAGCGUACUUAACAAACGUAUCGCGGACCGAGUUAUAGACCUGAGUUGGGAACUCAGUUAUCGCGGUGCCCGAGUCAACUAAGAUUCCCCCGCGUCCAUCUUCGCCUAUUUGGUAAUCUGAUGCCGGGAUGGAUACUUUUUCUCCAUUAAUAGUGACCCCCGUGAGUUCCACGUAAUAAUAAGCCUCAAUUCUUGGGUUAAUUAUCAAGGGAACGAGGACUGAGUCACCAGGUGGAGCUGAGUUAAAUUCAAGACUCGAGGACGAGUUCGAGUCCAUAUCCACAAGGCAGUAGGAGAACGACGUCGCUCUAAUUUGAGACGGGAAGCCUACAGGAGUGCCCCCAAGACCAAGUAUCCCAGCUGCCCCGCCAAACCCGCCCUGGUUCGUAUGCCCGCACCCGAUGGCUACUUUGUCAACAGAGCCCGAACUUCCAAACGACACCGUUUCGGUGGCGAAUUCGCCCAUGCUACUGAAGUUAUCUCCGUACGACGCUUUAUACGUACACGGGUCAGCUUUGCAAUUUUGGUUUUUUUCCAGGGAGGUACACUCCUGCGAUGCACAGGAUAAAGGACUAAAAGAUGAAGACCCGGAUGGGUCAAAGAUCGGGUCGGAUUGUUCGUAGCAUGGAUCGCAGGGCAGGCAUUGGAGCCAGGUGAUUUGGCUACCCGUAUCCGCUAUCAGGUGGAAUUCUUUCACGGGUUGGCCCACUCCGAUCCGAGCUAAGUACCCUCCCUCAGAAUGAGUCAGUGGAGUUUUGAGGUCCUCCGGCUGGACUUGUACGUCCGGUUUAACAGCAUGACGGCGGUUGAAGGUGGAGACAGCCCGUUCGAUGUUGGAGUUGAUGAGCUUGGCUCGGGCUCGGUCACUCGCGAGUCGGGAGAGUACCAGGUCAGAGUAGUUGUCGUAUGGCAGCUUUAUGAUGGAGGAAUGAGGAUGUAGGGAGAGUGACAAGACGGAGGAGGUUGAGCUAGGCUGAGCUUCUUCUGUUGAGAAGAGUUGAAGCCUCUUGAAAGCUGAAGCAGAGACAACUUGAGGUGAAAAAGGACUGAGGGUGAAGGAGAAGAAGAAGAAGAAGAGGAUGAUGAAGAUGUUAAUGGAAGGAAAUGGCCUUUGAGCUUUUCGAGCCAUGUACAUGUUUGUGGUUUUGGUGAUGAGAAGUUUGGGAGAUGAAGUUGCGUCCACAUUGUUUUGGUUUAGGAUACAACUAACGGAUCCGGAUAAGUUCAAAUGUUCGAUCACAGUAGAAAACUUUGGUCUUUCUUUAUUAUAUAUUUUUUGUUUCCAGUAUGACUCUGUUCUACCCCAAUUUUAUUUUUUAUUGUAUUAUUAUUAUUUUUUUCACAAAAAUUAUAUUUUAAUUCUUUUUUAUUUCUCACGUUCAAAUAACCACUGACACAUACAAAUGUUUUUCAAGAUAGAUGGGCCAAAUGAGACUGAACUACCAUCAUAGAAUAGCCCAAUUAAGUUGGGAAAAUCUAACGGGAAUUGAACUGCCAUCAGAUUAGACGGGUAUACCAUGCAGUCGUAUGAAUUUAGAACAAAUCUCAUAUAAAGACACAUUGAUGGGAGAUAAGAUUUGAAACCUUAACCUCCCAUCGCACGAUUAAUGUGAUGGCCAACUCAAUAUGACUGCAGGGUCACUGUGACUUCUUUUUCCUGUAAUCACGGCUUUGUUAUCUAAAGUUAAAUAUGAUUGCUAAUAAUUUUUCGUAAAGCAUUCUUUAAGGGCUUUACAUGCAAAUUCUUUCCCUAAAGAGGUGCGGGCACAAGGAUGUGGCUCUUUAAGCUCACAAGUUCAGCCAUUUGGACCAGGUCCAUAUAAAAAGUUUCCUGUGCAAUAUUCGAGAGGCUUUUGUAUAACAUAACCAAAGUUUUCCUUUUAUAUGUAAGGAAUUUAGAAUUUCUUUUUUUUUUCCUUUUAUAUACAAGCUCUGGCUGUUUAUAGAGUUUUUGACCAAAGAUUGUUAUUCAUAAAAGUUUUGAAAUUAAAAAAAUUUUGAGAAAAAGAAACGAAAAAAAUGCUGUUUGUAGAGUUGUAAUCUUCGUGGGAACGCCUUGGCCUAGGAUCAUUUGUUUCUCUUAUUAGGAAUAUGAAACUUAUGAGAUUCAUAAAAUUUAAUGGACGGUAGGUUAGGUUCCCAUUUUCCGCUUUUUUCUGUAUUUUGAUGAAAUUCUCCAGCAAAGUUCUCAAUAAUUCUGCAGUUGAACACACUUGUAACGCUGCCUAACAUAAUUCUGCAGGAGUAUUAAUUGUUUCCAGGAGUCAGCCUACUGAUGCAAGAUGACCACAAUGGUCCCUAUUUAAAAAUUGCCUUCAAGGAACUAAGCAUCAAGUUGAAAAAUCGAGAUCAAAGACAAUAAAAUAGGAAUAAUCUAAUGUUUCAAAAAGACACAUUUCUCUGAAGUUCAAGUCUAAGAAAGUAAAAGGUGAAUAACAUACUUUUCUCAUCUGUACAGAUGGAUUCAAGGCAAUUAGAAAGUACAUAGCAGUAUGCAUUCAUCCUUUUUCUUUUGCAUCCAAGAGAGACUCAAAUACUACCAAACUGGUAUAACAUAUCUGUUAUGCAGAGAUCCAUGCAGGAACAUGUGACUGGAGGUAUCUGAUCCCCAGAAACCUAUGAAAAUAGGCUCCAAAAAUGAAAAUGCAAUAUGCGCUUAAAAGCAUAGCUGUGCACAUGCACUUCUUCAUUCUCAAGAAGUCAAUAGCAUUCUAAGGAAAGAAGAGGAUAAAACUACUAAAGAUCACCAAAGCUGAAUAGGAAUAGAAAAGAGUGUACCUUAGAAUGAUGAUAGACGAUAAACUUGAGAUCCUGAAAAAAUCUUAACUCGACAAAAAUUGAUUCGGUUUAACCACCCAAUCAACCGUUUUUCCACUAAGGGAAAAUCUUAAGUGUAUCUUGAUAUCAUCAGAGGCUUUGAUGGGAAUGAAAGGAUUGUCACAGUUGCAGCAUUAAAAAAACUCUAAAUUUGGAGUGUCAAUUUCAGCACCUGAAAAGUGCGACAAUCUCUAAAGGCCAGUCUCUGAAGCCUUUGGCUUGAAAUUCUGAUACUCCCCAACCCAUGGCAACUUCGAAACUCUAAGGCUUCAAGGGCCUGGAUUUGAAAUGUCAGCGCCUGGUGCCCAAAGUUAGUUGUGUCACCUGCCCCACUGAGUUUCAACUCCUUCAGUGCUUUGCAAGUAGCCAGGUUAACACUUCUGGGCCAGUUUCCCAAGGAUGGUGCAAACGAAAAAGUAUGAAGAUCAGACACAUCUAUCUGAACAGUAUCAAUCCCAUCACAGUACAGGAACUCAAAAUACUUCAAGUGAGAUAAACUUGAAACUGAGAGAAGUGUGUCCAUCCAUUUACAAAAUGACACUUUCACAUACUCUAUCACGGGGCACCCAGAGAGAAUUUGGUGAAAUAAAAACUUGUCGGUGAAACAAGAAUGAGAUAAAGAAAACUUCUGUAGAUGUGGAAGUUUGAUAUCCAAUCCACUCUCAAAUCUACAACCACAUAAGCUUAAAACUUUUAGCGAGCUAGCGAGCAAAACCGAUUGCGGAACGCUAAAAAUGUCUAUCUGAGCCCGACAAACUAUCAAUGCAAACAGCAAGUUCUGGAGCAGUCCUGUCUACUGCUAUACCAAUCCAUUGGUCCAUAUUAGGCAUCAACAACUCCAUAUCAGGGAAGUCAAUAUACAAUUGAAAUCUUUGUACGCAAAAAUCUAGUUGCAAGCGCCGACAAAUGGAAUUUCCAGCAAGAAUCAAGAAAUCAUGUUUUCGCUUUUUUAUAUGCAAGUCACCAAGAACUUGCUCUUGUUCUGUGACUGAAUUAUCAUAGAAAAAGUGGAAUACAAGAUAAGGAUAAGUGGACCAGGUGCGAUUCCAAGUCUUUGACAAUAUUGCAGUAGAGGUAACAUCUCUGGCACGCAGAUAAGAUAAAAUGUGAUGAAUCACGGAAUCAGGCAACCGCGAGAUGAAGUCCAAAGGGGCAAUCUCCAAACCAGAUCUCUCCUGCUCACAUUCCUCUAUUAUUAACCAACAAAAGCGUUCAUUGACCAGUUAGAACUCAAAUUUCAUCUGUCACUCAUUUACGAACUAAUUCCAACUCCAAUAUGCUUGAUAAUCAAAACAGAACCAAUUAGAACUCAAACGUUCAUUAUUCAUUCAUAAUUAUACACUAAUAUGAACUGAAACGUGCUGGAUUAUCAAAGUUAUGCGCUAAUUUGAAACUCAAACAGUUCCUUAUUUAUUGACGACCAUACACAAAUUCGAACUCCAACGUGCUGAUUCACUACAAUUAUAUGCUAAUCAAAAUCAAAAGUCUUCAUCCAUUCAUGAUUAUAAAGUAAUCAGACUAAAUGGUGCAGGAUUAUUACAAUUAAGCAACUGAAGCAUUUAUAGAAAGAAAGUUUACAAAGAGUACCUGAUUCCAUGAAGGGCAAGCCGGCAAAGACUUUGAAUCCCGAAGGCGAACCUGAUUAUAUCAGUAAAUGUUAUAAAGUUAGCGAGGAAAUCUAUUUAAAUUAAGCAAGCCAUAAGAAGAUUGCAAAUUCCAGCUGACUUUGUGAAUUAUAAUGUUGAGCAGAAAAUAAAGCAUGAUCAUAAGGAUGACCAAAAGUACCUGAAAAUAAUUAAUAGCCUCUGUAAUUUAGCCCCAAUUCCCGGAACAUGUAGACGACGGGAGCGACGGUCAAUUAAGAUUAGCCACAUAUUGUGGCAAGUACGAGGGAGGAAGGGGUAAGGGGUAAGGGGAGAUGGUCAACUAAGACCAGCCACAUAUUGUGACAAGUAUGAGGGAGGCAGGGGUAGAACCCCUGACCUCCAACAUCACCAAAGAGGGUGAUGACUACUGGACCAAAUGGCCAGUGGCGAGAAUAGAGAUACUACAUAGCAUGAAACUGUGAAUACACGUAGUUGGGUAGUAGACUACUAGUUUCUUUCAUUAGUUUUCCUUGACAAAAUAUUUUUGGCUCCGUUUGAAUUAAUUACUUUUUUUUUAUAUUUUUAAAACAUUUUACUGCAACAGUGUAUAUGAAAAAUUUUGAUUGUAAAUUUUUUUGUGAUAUUUUUGAAUAAAUUUUUAAAAUAUAUUUUGGAGUACCUUUUAAAAUUAAAAUAUUUUUAAAGUACUUCUUAAAAAUUAAUACUAUCACCCACAACCACAAAUAACCACCAACACCACCUCCACCACCCACUCCUUCCUCCUUUCUCUUCCCCCUCUCUCUUCCCUUUCCCUGCCCCCACCCCCCUUAAUCUGGCAGCAACCAAAGGCUGCGAUCUGGUCGCGGCCAGAAAGUCUAGUAUCGACUAGAUUGCGGCCUCUAGUCACAACUAGAGACCUUGAUCUGGUCUUUGGCAGAUUGAGGGAGGAAGAAAUGAGAGGGGGGUAUUGGUGGUAGGCGGGGAUGGUGGUGGGUGGUGGUGGCGAGUAGUGGUGGUGAUAGGUGGAAAAUGUUAUAUAAUUCAAUUUUAAAAAUUUUUUUGUGUAUAUUUGUGAAUUAUUUUUUAUAUAUUGUAUGGAUGAGAUGUUUUUGAGUUGUUUUAUUUGUGUAUUAUUCUAGCAUUGUAUUUGAAAAUUUUGUUUUUGAAAAAUAGAUUUUUGGAUUUUUUAGUAGAAAAAUAUACUAUAUCAAUUUGAUGUAUGUGAGAUAAAAAUAAGUGUUUGAAAAAUAUGAUCAUAAAAAAUAUUAAAAAAAAUUUCUGCAGAAAAACUUCAAGGAAUUUCUAGAGAAAAAGAAAUCCAAAAUCCUAAUUUUUUUCCUUUUGUUUUUAGAAAAGGAAAAAGUGCAAGCCAAAAAGCAAUAAAAUGGAUAACUUCUUUUCAUAUGAAUAUAUGAUGUUAAGUACUUUAUGUACUCAUAAAACCCAUAUUUUGGUUUAAGAAAAGCAAUACCUAAUGAAAUUGUAAAAUGAGAACGGUAACAAAGAUUAUAGUCUAAAGUACUCGUUUGAUAGGCUAGUGCAAUUUGGCGUUUCACUUGUACGCUUCAAAUGCACAUCAUCAAUCAGGUAUCCGGACGCUUGGCUAUGCAACUUGAACAAUCAUCACAUGUAGAACUGAGGGGGCGCUUGGUUCAAAUUUAGGAAUUGGAAUUGUAAUUGGAAUCAUAGACUCUGGUUUUGAAAUUAAAACUUUUCAUUCCAAUAUCUUGCUUGGUUCACACAUUGGAAUUAGCAUUAUUCCAAUUCCUGACGCUUGGUUUGAUGAGUGUUUCGGAAUUAAAUGCAAUUAAAUUCCAAAUUUACCCCUGAUAUAACAAUUCUUCUAAAACAAAAGAAUUACACAUACGACAAAUUAACAUUUUCAUAAUUGUAACUACAAUAGUUAUUAACUUUUUAAUAAAACAUAAGAAAAUCAUAAAUAAUAAAAAAAUUAAUACCAUAAAAUAAAUAUAGUAGCUGCAUUAACAAGGAGUAAAUUUCCAAAAAAAAAGAGUUUUUAAACAAUCACCCAAAAGGUGACGAUUUUUGAGUCUCUUUCCAAAGGGCGAAAAAUGCAUCCAAGGAAUGUGUUCUUCCAAAUAUGUUUUGGAAAUUUGUUUAAAUAUGAAAAAUUGGUUAAAUAGCCCAUAAGAUACCAGCUCUUUAUAGGAAACUGGCAGGUUUUGUACCAGUUUUAUGGGAAAAAUUGAUUAAAUAGUGCCCAAAGAAAAACUAGUAUGUUUUGUAUUUAACAUAAAUUAAAUAUGUGAAAGAUAAAAAAAAAAAAUUGCCCAUAAGAUACCAGCUCUUUAAGGGAAACUGGCAGAUUUUGUAGUAUGUUUUGUACCAACUCUUUAUGGAAAACAUACCAACUCUUUAUGGAAAAAAUUGAUUAAAUAGCGCCCAAAGGAAAACUAGUAUGCUUUGUAUUUAACAUAAAUUAAAUAUGUGAAAGUUAAAAAAAAAAAGAAAUUACUCAUAAGAUACCAGCUCUUUAUGGGAAAUUAGCAGGUUUUGUAUUUAAUACGCUAUUUAACCAAUUUUUUUUUAUUUAAACAAAUUUACGAAAAUUAAAAUAACGUAUUUGAAAGUUGUAUUUUUAUUUGGAAGAACGCAUUUCUUGAAUGUGUUUUUCAUCCUUUGGGAAGAGACUCAAAAAUUGCCAGCCUUUAGGAAGUUAGUUUAAAAACUCUUUCUUUUUGGAAAUUUACUCCAUUAACAAGUCGUUUGUGGUUCCUACAUUAGAUAAUGAUAUGAAAUAGAUCACUCCUUACAUAUAUGAACAAAAGAAGGAGACUCAAAUCACAAAAGCUAACCAUACCAAAUACAAAUCAAUUGUCUAAUCCAGUCGAGAGUGCCACUCAAUGUCCACAAUCUCCAAAAGACUAAUCAUAUAACCAUCUAACAAUCAUCAUAUCAAAAAGAAAUUGCCAUCAAAUCAUCACUUUCCAGCUAACAAUAAUUUUACUUCAGCGAGUAGAUGGAGGAUAAAGGAGGUUAAUUACAUAUUAUCGUUUCAUUUCUGCAGGAAGAUUGUAGAACACAUGAAGCUUGGAAAUCUGCUCCGAAAGUAUGUCGGCUGCAUUCAUUACAUCUCCACUCGGUAAAGCAAGUUUCAUUAACUCAGCAACAACUUGAUCUCUUCUAUCGGAGACCAAUUGCUCACGUUUAUCCUCAUUUGACAUGGCUGCUGCCAUAGUUGUGAAAUUAGCUUGAAUUCUCUCCACGAAAUCUCCAAAUUUGCUGGUGAGAAGUUGCAAUGAUGCAUCAAGAUCACCCCUUGUUGUUGAUGCAGAUUUCAUUUUUUUUGACACAUUUGCAAUGGGAAGGGAUUGUUUCUUUUGUUUCUUGGAAUUUCUUGUGCUUGUUGAGUUUGGUUGAGUUGAUUGCUCCAUGGAAUUUACUUCAUCUUCUUCUACCUUAUCAUUAUCCGAGUUUGACAUAACAUCAAGCCCUUCAUCUCCUUCCUCCAAAUUUUGGACAUCUUCCAUAUCUUGGACAGCUUGUGCAAAAUCUUCAGCAACAUUUCCAGUGGCUCUGUCUCUUCCAUAUACAAUUUCAAGAUCUCCUAAAUAUGGAAAUUUGACAUCCCAAAGGCCCUUUGCAUCCUUAUGAGUCUAGAGAUAGAAUAGAAAGAUAAAUGAUAAUCUUAAUAAAAUGUUGAAAAAGAACAUAUCAGAAUGUAAAAAGUAAUCAAUUUCUUACCUUGCACCAAUCAUCAUACCACUGUUUUUCACAAGAAAUCUUUUUCUCAGCAUCAUUCCAACUACAACCACUUUCUUUGCACAUUUCAACAAUUGCAUGGAACCUAUUUUUCAGUCACUUAACUUUUGAUUCAAUAUGUGGGCUGACUUGUUUGGUAAAAGUAGGUUGCUUACGCAAGAUAAUUUUAAGUAAUUUGCUCAUAUAAUUAUUUUUAAAUCCUCCAUCUGAUUUUCACAUUGGAUCACAAGCCAACUCUUGCAAUGAUUCUAUGAGCACUUUUACCUCUUCACCAGUCCAAAAACAUUUAUUUUCCCUCUUCCACGUACAAUUUCAUCAUUCUCCAUCCUAUCAUUUAGAAGUCAACCCAUAUAUAUCAAUUAAUUUUGAUACACAAUAGCAUAUAACUGAAAUUUAUAAUAUAACAAAACACAUAAAAGAACAUACAAUUAAAAGUCAAUCCAAAUUUAAAAGAACAUACAUCAAGUGUCAAUCUAAUUCACAAAUCCACUACAAGAGUACAUCAAAUGUCAAUCCAAAUUUAAUGAGUCUAAGAGCUAAACAUCCAUUCAUAGCUAAAUACUAAGUCCAGCCCUCCAAUUGUCAAACAUUUCAUGCGCUAAAUUAUUUCUAAAAUUUGCCCAUUGAUCACUUGGCAAAAUGGUGGAUAUGUACUCUACUUCUUCAUCACUGUCUUCAUCUUCACUUUCAUUUUCUUCACUUUGUAGUAAUUCUUGUGGAUCAAAAGUCAUGAACUUCCUUAUCAAGUUGUGCAGCAGACAACAUGCCAUAAUUAUUCGCACUUGUGUUUGAAUUGGAAAAAAUGAAGGGGAUGCUAGAAUCUUCCACCUUCCUUUUAGCAAUCCAAAACAUCUUUUUAUGAUAUUUCUAGCUUUAGAAUGUUUCAUGUGAAAUAUUCCUCUAGUCUUUGUGGUCGAUAACCAUUGAAUUUAUUAAGGUGAUAUCUUUGCCCUCGAUAAGGGGCAAGAAAUCCAUCAGCAUUACAAUAUCCAGCAUCCACCAAGUAAUAACAACCUUCAGAAUUCAAUCAUGUACAAAUUAAUACUAGACUACCUUAUUUUCGAAAAAAAAUUGAUUGAAUGGUAUUGAAUACUGCAAUAUAUGUUUACCUUGUGGGACUCUAAGACCAUUUGGUCUAGAGAUAGCAUUUCGAAGCACACGACCAUCAUGUGCCGAAUCUUCCCAACCAGGCAAGACAUAGAUAAAUUGCAUAUUAGGAGAACAAAUCCCUAAUACAUUUGUUGCAAUACUUCCUUUUCUCGUUUGGUAUCUUGAUUUUUGUUCGGUGGGUGGUGUCACAUCUAUUAAUGUCCCAUUUAAGGCACCUAAACAAUUCUAUUUUAACAAAAAUAAAAAAUAUAAAUGAGUUAAAAUGUCUAUAUUGGAUAGUUUAGAUGAAAACAUACAUUUUAUUAAAUGAUUGUAUUUUAAUGUUUGAAUUACCUUAAAACAUUUCCAUCUCUCAUCUGUGCAAUCUUCGGUAAUAGGCUCAGGCUUCUUAAGUAAUAUAGUAUGCAAUUUCAAAACUGCUAGGAGGCAAAGAUUAAAUUGACGACUCACCGUUUCUCUACUUCUCUAAAAUAAACCACAAAUUGUUCUACUUUUCUUGUGGUGAGCCAAAACAUAUACAAACAUGGCAACAAUUUCUUCUAUUGACAUGUUUCUUGUAGCUUUCAAACCUCCAGUGUCUCUAAUCAUUUCACAUAAUAUCCCAAAUGUUCGUCUAUCCAUACGAAGUUCGCUAAUACAAUAAGCAUCACUCUCCCUAGUCAAAUUGAAUAAGUGUUGCAUGCGCUCAGUGACUUUUUCUUCUUUUGAUUUUAUUUGGCGUCUUCUACUUUUGAGAUGAAUGAAUAUUAACUGGUACCACAUCAUAAACAGUGCAAUAACAACCAUUAUCAUUCCUGAUAAAAUCUGGCUUUGCCCUCGAUAUUUUUUGCGUCUUCUGUUUUCAAUAGGCAAACGUGGCAUCUUUGUCUACAUAACAAUAUGACAACCAAAUGUAAGUAUUCACCAAACUAGAUUACGGCAUCAAAAUCUUCAAAUGCAUUAAACAUCAAUUGAUCUUAUUAAAAGGGCCUAGACAUGCAUCAUACAUCCGUAAACACAAUGAUGUAUAGAUAUAAAUAAGCAUAAACAAACGAAAUUGAUGGUUGAAACUUGAAAUCCUAAUGUACGAAUAACUAUGAAACUGAAAGCUAUUCAAGCAGACAAUUUUACAAACAGGUACAGGGCAUGUAGAAACCCACCCAAACUAUACCAGUAUUCACGGAUCAAAUAACCAAAAGAUCAAGAAUUGAUUGACCUCCAUUGAAUGCGUAAUCCAAGAAAACACAUUAAAAACAUAAAAAUGACAAAUCUAGUGACAUUAACAUUUAUCUCACCAAAAAAAAGAACAAAAUAAUGUAUUUGUUGAAGUAAGUGAAUUAAAAUACAUGUAUUACAACAAAAUACAUGGAUUAAAAACAUGUAUUAUUCUCACCAAUAAUAGUGUAUUUGUUGCGGAAAUAAUUUCUUAUUGGAUUUUGUGACAAAAGAAUAUGAAUUCAUGGAAGGAAGACUUUUUUGCAAAACUGACAGAUUGUGUAGCGUGAGUGGAAUAAAAGUGAGAAGGUGAUGGGUCCAGAGCAUAGCAUUUUGGUCCAGUUAGUGUUAUUGUAUCAGAUUCCCUUCUUUUCUUCUUUAUUUUCAGCUACCCAGUGAGUAGCCUGAAAAAACAGAGAAGAAGAAAGAGAAAAACUUGCAUACGAAAAGAAAAUUGCAAGAGGCAAGGGAGUUUGUAAUCCACUGACCUGGGAUCAAGGAAUUCACCCUAGUAGAAGACUCUUCAACUCUAGAAUUCGUUGUCCAAGGAGAGUCGAAAGCCACUGAUCUUUAUGGUUGUCCAACCGGUGAAGUAGAAGAGGUAGAAAAUCUGAUGAAGAAGAAGAACAGAAGGUGCGGCGUGUAAUGAAGAAAAAAAGAGGGUAGGUUCGUCAUAAAUGUUUUUGCUCGGGAAUGAGUUGAGGGUUUUGUCCAAAACCUCCCAAUUUACUCAGGAAUGGUGAAAGUCCGAUUUUUUAGAAAUGAUUCCAGAAAUUGCAUUCCAAUAGACUUAACCCAAGCAACAAAUAAGGGGUUCAUUCCAUUAUUUGAUUCCCAAACCUUUUAACCAAGCAGCCCCUGACUUUAUUCUAGUAUUUUAUAGGAAAAUAUGUACUCAAUUAGCCUGAAGUGAAUUAAAUCAUGAUUGUCAGCAUUUUAAACUUUUGAUGGUGAAGGCCUUAAUUGCUUGACAACUCCCAUGAUUAUUAUGGCUAAACUACUCAAGUUGCCUCGUUAUACUUCAAAAAAAAAAUUCUCAAUUCAACCUUUAACACUAAGAAGUGACUUGAUUUAAUCCCUUGGAAAUAACUCAUGUCAUUUUUAUGUUGAAUUAGUAGCCAAAAGAUUUAAUCGUGUAUUUGCAAUAUAACGGGGUCUAUGUGUUAUAUUAACGAUAUAUUGUUGAUGAUGAGACUAUAUGAAUUCCAAUUCUUUCAGCAAAGGUGAUAUCCAAACAACAAAAUUUCUUCAAAGACAUCUAAUAAAGAGAUUACCAAGUACCCAUGUUAUUGUUUAAGCAAUAUUAGUAUGUUUUCAUAAACAGCAUUUUAUUUGGGUUGAAAUCAAAUCAACACCUAUAUGCAUUUCAUAAACAGCAUUUUAUGAGGGAUGAAUGAGGAUGUAGGGAGAGGGACAAAACGGAGGAGGUGGAGGUGGGCUGAGUUUCUUCUGUUGAGAAGAGUCGAAGUCUCUUGAAAACCGAAGCAGAUACCGCUUGAGAUGAAAAAGGACUGAGGGUGAAGAAGAGGAAGAAGAGGAUGAUGAAGAUGUUAACGGAAGGAAAUGGGCUUGCAGCUUUUCGAGCCAUGUAAAUGUUUGUGGUUUUUGCCGCAGCAGACAACAAACAAAGAAGAGAAGUGAUGAGAAGUUUGGGAGAUGAGCAUGGGUUUAUUAUAUACACGUACGUUGAUCUGCACGCAGGGCAUCAGUAGCGUGUUACUAUUAUUUAUUGAAGGUCCAUAUCAAAAAAAAAAUUUUGAUAACAAAGGUCCAUAUCAAUUUAAUUUCCAUAGAAAAGUAAAAGUUUGGUACCUUAACAUACAAGAAAGAGAGUACAUACACAAUUAAUCGCCAGUCCUUCAAAUCAAGAUAUGUACAAUGUGUAAGUGAGAAUGUACAACUGAUAUUCCUAGUCUACGAGCAGGGGCGGAGCCAGAAAAAAUUCUUAGUAGGGGCAAAGCAACACUAAAAUUUUUUACCUACUCUUUUUCUAGUUUUUUAAGCAAAAAAAAAAAAAAUCACCAACAAGUACAAAUGAUACAUAUAUUCCAUGAAAAAUAUAAAAAGACAAAUUCAAAAUUAUUAAUGUAAUAAUAAUUUUAUUUCAAAAAUAAAUUACACUAUUUACAAUUGCUCACUGCGAGUUUUUAUAUUUUGAUAACUAAUUUGGUUAUAGAAGUAAGAAUGGCUCUCGGUUGUGGAGGGAAAAUAGGGGACCAGUGGAAGGAAGGGAAAUUGGGAAGUGGGGACAAAGGAAGUGAAUGAUAUGAUUGGAUGAAUUGAUCAAGAGAAAGAGUAGCUAGCUGCUUGGUUGUGGAAGGUAGUGGCUCUCGGUUGUGGGGAGAAAAUGGGGGACCAGAUGAGGGAAGGGAAAUUGGGGAGUAGGGCCCAAAGAAAGUGAAUGAUAUUAUUGGUACUUGCUAAUUAAAAUGAAAAGGCUUUUUUUAGCUUAUUUCAAAUGGAAUUUGUGCCCCACGUAUCUUUUUAGAAUUUUAGUUUAUGAAGUAAUUUAAAAAAUCACGUAAUUCUUUCACAUUCUUUCUAAAAAAACUCUGGGGGCACAUUUAAAAUUAUAUUAAAAUUGUACAAAUAUUAUAAGAAUUUAAGGGGGGCAGUGGGGGCCCGUUGCUCCCAGUGCCCCCACCUUAAGGCUUCCUUUAGAUGGAGAGAAAAGGAUAGAAAAGAAAGUGACUAGAGAGACAGCCGUACCAUUUCCUUCAUUUGGGAGUUUUAACAUGGACAGGAGAGAAGGGAAACAAACGGAUAGGACCCCCUCCAAUUGGUGAAAAUUUUUCCGCCCAAAAGUGGGAAGAAAAGGACGGAAACUUGUUGGGCGGCAAAAGGUAUUUUUAAUAUGACAUUUUUUGUCCUUUAAAAGCUGAUACAAAAAUUUAUUAUUCCCAAUAUAUCCUAAAGUUCAUUAGUAAAACCACCAAUUCAUCUUUUUCUCAGCUCUUACUUUCAAUACUUCCAACGAGAUUCACCUGACUUUCUUCCGUUCAACACCCACAAUUCAAUAACAGGUAUUUUUUUGACUCAAUCUCUUCUUUCUUUCUUUCUUUGCUCAAUCUUCUUUAGAAAAUUAUGGAAAAAGCAUUUUUUGUGUAGAUUGUUAUUGUUUAUAUUCUAAAUUUUUUUGUUCAUUUUCUGUCAUAAAAUUCUUGUCUGCGGGAAAUCUUGAUCUUUAUAUUAUUGAUUUGUGAUUAUAUCUUGCAUUGUUAUGGUACAUGUAAGUUUCAGUGGUGAUACAUGAAUAUGAAAUUUAAAUGCAUACAUUUUGUUUGUUUAUUUGCCCGUGUAAGCUUCAAAGUGUAAAAUGAUCAACACAGAGUCCAUAAACAAUAUGUUAGCCUUUUUUAUUGUAAUAAUGCAUGUUUCUUUGAAAUGAUUACAAAGAUAGUAAUACUAGAAGUAUUGUUUUGAAUGGAGGCUGAUGUACAAAAACAAAAUUAGAGAUCUCCUUAUUCAUCAUCCCCAAGAGGUUUCAUGCUUGUCCCUGCUCAAGUUACGAUCCUGGGUAUAUAAUAAGCCUUAAAUUACCUUAAAAACAGUCCAACGUAAGGAUUGGUAAUAGCAGAGUUUAAAACUGUCGAAGCUUCUGCAAGUCUGGCCAUGUAAACUUUGUCUUUAGAUAGGUACAAAAAUUCGGAAUUCAAUUAUCUCAAACCCACAGAGUUCGACAAACUUGACACAUUCUUUAAAUUUUCAUACAUUGCUCUGUUAUUACAAAUAAAUUAAUCAAGUAUACAAUAUAGUAGGUAAAAAAAAAACUUUGAAUCCUACAUUAUUAGUAGAUACUCACGGUGCAAAAAAAAAAAGUUUCACAAGAAUUGAGGGCUAUAAUAGUCAUACAAAUUAUGUACGUGCAAAAUCCCAAGGGAACAUACAUCUUCAAAGGCACCACAUUGCUUUUCUUGAUAUUGGUUCUUGACAUGCAGCCAAACCAGAGUCUAUGACAUGCAGCCAAACCAUACUCAACCAAUUUAUAGUGGUGAAAUACAAUCACAAAUUGUGCUUGCUUGUUGUAUAUUACAUAAUUUUCUCAUGGAGUUUGAUCCUGACUUGGAGUACAUUAAUGAAGUGGAUGAGGAAUUGGCACGUCAAUCUCCAUCGGAGGAAGAAAGUGGUGAUAUAAGUGCUGAAAAAGAUCAUGCUCAAGGAGAGAGUUUAAGGAAUGAAAUAGCAAUGCAAAUGUUUUGAAGAUGAUUCCAAUUACCCACUGGUCAUUUCAUGUUUUGAAAAUAUGUAGAUCAUUGGGUGUAUUUUUGUUUAGAAAUUGAUAGAAUUGCUUUGUAUCAGGAGUAAAUGCUCAUGUGAAUUCGGAAAUCUGAAUGCAACAGGAAACCUAGUUGCAUUCCAUGUAAACCUGGUUUAUGUAUAUUUUGAGUUCACUUGGUUGCAUGGCAUUUUAUUUACUUGGGUUGCAUUCCACGUAUAUCUUGUUUAUGUAUUUUAUGGUACCAUGCACCUCCUUGCUUAAUUAUUUGUUGUUUUCACCAAUCUUUGCUUCAGAAAGCAAACAGACUGGCUAACAUAUAUAUGGCUGAAACCUGAGUUUAUCACUAAUGUUUCAGCUUAGCAAGUGGUAAACCUGAGUUUCAACUUAGCAAACUAAAGCUAAAAAUAAUAGACAGUUGAGCAGCUGUUAAAGCUAAAUAAGAUCUCAUCAGGAUGGCACUCUACUUUUACAUCACUGCUUCCUUCUUCUUCAGCCUGCAGUCUUUUCUUGUUAAGAAUUAUUACUCUUUGGGUUCAAGGAUAUUUCCCAAAGAAAUUAAAGGUUUUAGAUUUAUUGUGUGUGAGUAGGUUUAUGUAAAAAUCGCCGCAUUUCAGCUUCCAAUUCAUUCUUACAACAAUGUGAGUACAAGAUUUGGGUGAAACUUGAACCAAUAGAGGUAAUUACCGUGAAUUAGAGUGGAGGAUACAUUUAUGAGGGAGUCUCCAACGGACAGCUGAAAAGUGAAGGAGAGGUAAACGGAUUAAAUGAUUCAAAGUAAAAUGCUCAUAAAUAGCAAAUAGUUUGUUCAUCUAAUGGAAGAAACUCGUAAAGAGCUGGUAUGUUAUGAACAAUUUUUUUUUUUUACUUUCAAAUACUUCAUUUAUAUUAAAUACAAAACAUGCUAGUUUUUCUUUCGUAAAAAUAUUUGUGUAACGGCUUUUGAAUUUUGUUUGCAAAUAUUUAUGUAUUUAACAUAAAUUAAAUGAUUCAGAAUAAAAUGCCCAUAAAAACUUGGGUACUCCGUUCUUAUAAUGGAGGAAAGCCAUAAAGAACUAGUAUUUUAUUGAAAAACGAGUUUAUUUUUAGUUUAUCCGAUAAAUAAAUUUGUUAGUAAUAUUUUUUACAUUAAAAACGGGUUUAUUUCUAGUCUUGGUUAGUAAUCGUCAGUCUUAUUCAUCAAAAUGGUAUUGGAAUGAUUUUUCUUUUAAAAAAAAAAGAUCAAAUGAUGAAAACUUUCAAUAUUAAAUGCCAGACGUCAUGCUUGUCAGUGCAUUAACUAUCAACAAAUAAAAUUUUAUAAACAUUAGGAUGGAUCAAGUGGUGAAGAAGUGAAGAUUGAGAUAAUCUAAUAAUUAGUAGUAAACUUGAGUUUCAGCUUAGCAAAAACACUAGCUGAAACAUGUACAAUGGCAUUUCCGGUCAAUAUCAAAAUCAUAUGUCAAGAAUACCUAAAAGAUACUACAACGACUUGAGGCGAUUUACAUGCAUGCAAGAGAAUCGAAGUCCAGUAAGAAAUUUGUUGUAUUAUUCACCUUGUGGGAAUGCAUAUGCAAUUGUUUUAGAAAUUUGUUUUGUCCAAAUAUUCUAUUUAUGGGAACAAGAAAGCUAAUUUUUGGACUUUGAUUUACAAAUAGAAAGGGCAAAUAUGUAAAGUUGUAUUCUCAUAAAAUCCUUUCUUUCCAUAUCUCUCCAACUCUCAAAUAAGAGAAAGAUAUUUCUUUUCUUUUUUUUCAUUAAGCUCCCAAACGAAAUAUGCAUCUUUUCCCUUCUCUUCCUUUCUUUCCUAAGCUAUCUUUUCUUUUCUUUUCUCUUCCUUCAUAAACUCCCAAACUAAGCCUAAAUCCGCCCCGGUCCACGAGUGUCGUUACCGUAUGAAAGAAAGGGAAAGAACGAGAAGAUUUUAACAAACUUUAGUAGGCUUUUAAUCGAAAUUUUGAGUUCUGGGAGGGAAGACUUUUUAGAGUCUUGCAGGCAUCCGCUGCAUCGCGAUAGUUGGCCUUUCUGAUACAGGCAUAUCAAAAAGGAAUCAAAUUGGAAUUUACGGUGGAAACAAGGUAGAUGCGCCAACGGCAGCUGGUGUUUCAUUUUCAUGAUGCAAACUGGGGAAAUGUUGGAGCAUUAUGCAUCCAUGCCAUUAGAUAUAUAGUGGGCUUGAUGUUAUACAAUGCAAAUUUUCUUAAAAAAAAACUUUAAAUCAAAAUAAAUCUUGACCUAUCAAUUAUUGAUUUAAGCUAUCAAAACAUUGGCAUGUAACAUGCAAAUAAGCGUUGCUCAUAGGGCAUCAUUCCUUUCCGUCUCACACGCAGAUUAGUCCAUUGGUGGUUCUUUCUUUCCUUUUUUUUUUUUUUUUUUUUUGAAUAUUUGGUACAUAGAGGCUCCAACUUUUACAAGGAGAAGGAAAAAUAGGAGAGUUUAAGGGUCAAGACCUUACGGUCAGUCACCUAAAAGCAUCCGUGCCAAUUGAGUUGAGUUUUGGGAACAAAAUUUUGGCCUUUCCAUUAUAGCAGGAUACAACUAAAUGCCCGGAUUAAUUAACUCAAUUUCCAUAAAUUUAAAAAAAAAGAGUAAGAAAUUGGUACCUCUGAUCAAUUCCAAGGGUAGAUAUAUAAUAUAAUUAUUAGUCCUUCAAAUGGAGACGAGUGUCAGUAGACUUAAAAGGAGUCCAUGAUAUUGAUAGUUGGUCUUUUGGUCACAAUAAUUAUUUCGAGAUGUUUGAUUCUUCGUAAUGUGGAAUAACUUUCCUCCAGACAUUCUAAAGAAACAUGAUGGAACAAGUUGCUGUUUGUGAGGUCGUAUUAAUCCUGGUGGGAACCUCUCUUGCGCAAGGAUUUUUGGGUAAUGAAUUGAUCUUUCAAGAAAAACGCUACUAUUUACAAAAACAAGUAUUUUUAUGUUUUUCUUCAUUUGUGUUCAAUUCAAUUCUCUAUAAUGUAUAUUAAUAGUACUAUUUAUCUAGAGGGAGCACCUUCAUGAAUGGACUAUCUCUAGAGGUUCUCCUUCACAUUUGACGCGCAGAUUACGCCAUUAGGCAAUUCGGGCGGCUGAGCGGUCAACACAAGGCAACAUCAAAACGUAAAACAGAUGUAAUAGAUGGGAGAAAUUUCUUUGAAACUCCAAAAUGUGAUUGUCGAGUAGAUUAAUGCGAGUCUUAUGAAUUGAUUACAUUUUCAAUCAAUUCAAUCUCCGGAUAAACAUGCAUGCUAUGCCCAAAUAUAGCUCUGUCCUGGUUUUCACGGUACAAGCACUUCUUCAUUCUCAAAGAAGUUAUUAGCAUACUAAAGAAAGAAAAGGACCUAAAAGGAAAAAAAGAAGAAGAAAAGGAUCUAAUUAUACUAAGAAUCACAAAAGUUAGGGGGUGCUUGGUUCAUGCUCCGGAAUUGAAAUUGGAUACGGAAUGAAAUAUAAAAAAAUCAGUAUGGGUAUAAGCUCCUGAUAUCAUUGAAAUAACUACUGCUUGGUACAAUUUUUAGUGGAAUAGGUAUCAAAAUUAUUAUUGCAUUUUUGCCCUAUCUUUUUCUUUGUUGGCUUGCAAACAGAUAUAAGGAACUUUUUUUUUUCAAGAAAAUAUGCGAUAUCCAAUAUUAAAGAACAACAUAUAGUAGAAUUUGUAGAUUCACAUACCAAUUGAGGUUCAAUGACAAAUUAGAACAGCCAAAAUUGUUCAAAAUACAAAGCAAAUAACAACUUGGGAUCCGUUUAUCUCUAACGGCAGCUUGCUUAACAAAAUCCACUAGCAAGGAGGCAACGACCUUUUCCUUCAACAAUACUUAUUAAUGAAUCCAAUCUCCUUAGCAUUGCUGCAAAAGCAUUGUCUGCAGCACAUCAGGCCAUACUUUCUGAUAAUACCAUAAGAGUUUCCACACACACGGCAGGUGCGAGAGCCACAGCCGUGGUUCUUAGGAUGAGAAUUCCAGAUGUUGGAGUGUCCCAUCUCGAUAUCGUCUUCCUCUCUAUCAAGCUUUCAGCGGCUGCUAAUUUCUGCCAAAGCCAACCCUAAUUACUGAAGGCGGAGGAGGCAGAUUUAAGGAACUUUGUGUGGGGUGGCACCAGACUCAAGCCGGUGGGGUUUCUUUCUCAAGUUGAAGUUGAAUCCCUUGAGAUUGCGGCUGUAAAUUCGGACACUGAUUUAAACUCAGGGGUGAGGUUGUGCAGGAGGAGGAGAUGAGUGGUGGGAGUUGAUGGAGGAAGACUAGAGGGAGGAUGACUGAACGAGGAUGAAGGGGUAAGUGGAUAAAAAAAAUGUUUUAUUAAAUUUAUCUUGGAAUCAAAUAUAGAAAUUAACAAAACCCACCAAUUUACUCGGGAAUGGAGAGUUGACAACUUUUUAGAAUUCAUUCCAAAAUCUUCAAUCUCAUACCUAUUAUCCAAGCACUUAAAAUGGACAUCAUUCCAAAUUCCAAAUCCCAUACCCUCAAACCAAGCACCCUUUAGUUUGGUUGAGAAAAGAAAGUAGUACUUUAGAACAAAGGUAGACGAUGAGAUCCUCGAAAUAACAUAAUUAUGAAAACAUUUACUAUAUAUAUAUAUAUAUAUGAAGAACAACAUUUAUUUGGGUUGAAAUCAACUAUAUAUACAUACAUAUAUAUAUAUACAUACAUAUAUAUAUAUAUAUAUAUAUAUAUUCUAGUAGUAGCACUAGAGGGAGGGAGUGCUCUAACAUUGAUUCGGACUAAAACCAAUCAUCUUAUUGGCAAGGUCGUAAGUGACCCGCAUCCCUUGCUGCUGUAUAUUCCCAAGUAGUGACGCGCCUUCCGAAGUGCUGGCAAAAGCCAAACAGUGCUUGCCACUGGUAUCAACACGAAACAAGUAAUUUGCAGGCCUCAACGGCAGCGUUUUGCCCCCAGAGAAAUCAAGCGACAUCGUUGGAUAGCCGUCUGUGGGGUUUGAGGAUAGAUCAUAGCAAGCGUCCAAUUUAAAUAUGCCUUCAGCGUACCCGCUCGUGGGAGGCAAGGCUUGAGCGUACUUAACAAACGUAUCACGGACCGAGUUAUAAACCUCAUCUGGCAACAGAGUUAUGGUGGUGCCCGAGUCAACUACAAUUCCCCCGCGUCCGUCUUGGCCUAUUUGGUAAGCUGAUGCCGGAAUGGGUACUUGUUCUCCAUUAAUGGUAAUCCCCGUGAGCUCCACGUAGUAAAAAAUCCCACUUGGAUUAAAAAUCAAAGGAACGAGGACUGAGUCACCAGGUGGAGCUGAGUUAAACUCAAGGGUCGAGGACUUGCCCGAGUCCAUAUCCACAAGACAGUAGGAGAAGGACGUGGCUUGAAUUUUAGAAGGAAAGCUUACAGGAGUGCCCCCAAGACCAAGUAUCCCAGACGCCCCCACGCUUUGAUUUGUAUGGGCGCACCCGAUGGCUACUUUGUCAACCGAACCUGAACUUCCAAACGACACCGUUUCAGUGGCGAAUUCUCCCACGACGCUGGAUCCCUCUAAGUAGCCCGCUCUAAACAUACACGGGUCAGCAGUGCAAUUUCGGUUUUCGCCCAGGGAGGCACAUUCCUGGGAUGCGCAGGAUAAAAGACUAUAAGAUGAAGACCCAGAUGGGUCAAAGACCGAACCGGACACGCUAGAACAUCCAUCGCAGGGUAGGCAUUGGAGCCAGUUGAUUUGGCUACCCGUAUCCGCUACCAGGAGGAAUUCUUUUACUGGUUGGCCCACUCCGACCUGAGCUAAGUACGCUCCUCCAAAUGGAGUCAGCGUAGUUUCCAGGUCCUCCGGUUGGACUUGGGCGUCCGGUUUAACGUCAUGAGGGCGGUUGAAGGUGGAGAGAGCCCGCUCAAUUUUGGAGUUGAUGAGCUUGGCUCGGGCUCGGUCACUCGCCAGUCGGGAGCGUACGAGGUCGGAGUAGUUGUUGUUUGGCGGCUUUAUGAUGGAUGAAUAAGGAUGUAGGGAGAGGGACAAAACGGAGGAGGUCGAGGUGGGCUGAGCUUUUUCUGUUGAGAAGAGCUGAAGUCUUUUGAAAACUGAAGCAGAGACUGCUUGAGGUGAAAAGGGACUGAGGGGGAAGAAGAAGAAGAAGAGGAUGAUGAAGAUGUUAAUGGAAGGAAAUGGCCUUUGAGCUUCUCGAGCCAUGUUUGUGGGUUUGGAGCAGAAGAGAAGUGAUGAGAAGUUUGGAACGAGCAAGGGUUUAUAUACACGUCGAUCUGCAUGGAGGGCAUGUGGUUAAUUAAUUUAAGACAUGGCUGCAUUCACAUUUUACAAAGGGUACAUAUACAUUUACUAGUCCUUCAAACGAAGACAUGUUCGGAGAAUGUAGAAUAACUGAUAUUCCUUGUUACGAGACAAGAGUCUAGAAGAAGAAUGAAGAGACCUUUUUUUUUUCAAAAAAAAAAUUCUUUGAAGCUUAAUAAGGAAUUUUUAUUCAUGUUAAAUCCGCGAGAACAGCAUCAGACACCAACAGACCCUUCUUCCCUGAAGAAAUGAAGAGAAAAUUAAACAAGUAAUAAUGGUGGGUGCUAUGGGUUAAUAUAUGCAAGUAAUAAUUUUUCGUAAAGAAAUCAUCAAGGGUUUUACGUUAAAAAAAAAUCUUCAAAGGUUUUACAUGCAACGGAUCUUCUGUCCCACACUCUAUACCACUUUCUAUCUUACUUUGUAUUAUAUUGUCAUUUCUCUUACAUAAACAUCAUGUUUUAGUUCUUUUUUAUUUUCUUAAAAUCCAAUAACUAUUAAUUGAGUAAUACACAAAAUUUAACAAACUCAAAAAAUCAAAAUGCAUAAAAAAAUGAGAUUUUUAUGAAUUUUUUGCUGUAUUUUUUAAUUUUCUAUUAUAUAUUGCUUUUUUGAACUGUUAUAUUUAUUUUUAUUCAAUUAAUAGCUAUUGAAUUUUAAAGAAACAAAAAAAAACUAAAAUAUGAUGUUUAUGUAGGAGAAAUAGUAAUAUAAUAAAAAGUGAGAUAGAAAGUGACAAAGAUUACCAGACAGAAGAUCUGUUGCGGAUUUUACAUGCAAAUUCUUUCCCCAAGAGUUGUGGAACACAAGGAAUUAUGUGGCUCUCUAAACUCACACGGUCCACAAUUUUACCUGCGUGGUCCGGGUCCAUCUCUAAGAAGAAGAGACAGUACAAUUGGAAUUUUUUUUGUAUAAUGAAUGCGAUGGCACUUUCUUUGAACAGAGAAAAAUCCUGCAAAGAGGCCAAUCACCAAAUACCGUAGACGUUCAUCUUGACACAUAAACCAUACUUGAAAUCAAAGUUGAAAAUUCAGAUAAUCGUGUUUCAUGCAGAAACUCCCUUUCGGUAUCGCAUGCAUAUUAGGCGACUAAUUAGCUGUCAACGGUACGCAACAUCAAAACAGCUGAUGUGGGACAGAAGAUCCGUUACGUACACAACAUCAAAACAGCUGCACUUUUACCAUUCGUCAACCAAUCAGACCAUUUCGUCUUCUUGUCCAUUUGAUUUAACCUAGAGAAACUCUAGUCGUCAUUCGUUAAUGCUCUUUCUAGUUGUUUAAAUAAAGAAGAAACUUUAAAUUUUUGGUACACAAAAAAAAAAAGAACAAAUGGCCUUAAUUUGAACUCAUUUAUCAAAAACUUUAAUUGUCUAGUCGCCAAAUCUGUAAAUGUAUAAUUGCUUCUACAUAUUUGUCCCUAGCCUAAACUUUUUAGAACUUUAAAAACAAAUUGUAUUGUACACUGAAACAGUUACAUGUCCUAAAUUAGAGUUGCCAAUGAAAGAUGGCCAACAUUCUAGUUUUCAUAGGAUAUUACACUUUUCUAUGGUUUUCAAUUAAUGAGAACCACGAGCCCAACAUUAUGGAAUAGGGGUUGUAUCAAGGCACCGCACCAGAGGGCUCAUUGCAAUUGGAUAGAAUAUUCUGAUGCAGACUCGUUCGACCAGUCUGCAGGUAAAGCCUAUUGACUCAGUGGCGACUAGUCGAUCAAUCAGACAAACCAAAGAAGUUAACCUUCUUUGAUACCCAUUAAUCAGAGCCCACAAAGACCAGGACUUUUUUCUUGCCAAUUUUCGGUAAGGCAAAAACAAAGCAUUAAAGCUGGAAACAAAAAAAGAAAAUUUCCCCUUUUAUAGUUUUAUUAGGUCAAGCCAGGAGCAGGACUAGAAGAAAGAAAAUGUGUUUCUUCCAUUAAUUCUUCGCAACGUAAUUCUUCCUUUUAUGUGUACACUAAUUCUUCACCAGAUCGGCAGACCUUACGAGUUCCAGCUCGAUCGUGCAACGAGCGCAACUGAUAAAUCAUUACAGCGAAAACGGAGAGGAUUUGUCUUGUACGUAUACCUCAAUUGACAUGACCGAAUAUGUGUGGGAAAAGCUAGCUCAAGGAUUAAUCCAGCAAAAACAAUCAAGACUCAACAUAACUUACUAUCAAAUUAAAAUGAAGACAGCAGGGCUGAAUCCAAUCGGCCUUGUAUUAUUUUGCAAGCAUUCAUGUGGAAAAUGAAACAGCCAAUGGAAUGGAAUGGUCGUACAACUCCCUCCUUGCCAGAACUUUAUUCAUUCUAUAUCUAUCGACGAAAUACAUCAUAUAUACCCUGUUUACUAAUCGAAAGAACGAUUAUUUUUCCUAUCUAAUGUGUAUCUGAUCAUGUAUAGACGCAUGACUCAUGUACGUUUUAAAUUUUAUAUCUAUAACAUGUAUUUAAAUUCGUUAAUAUAUGCAUACGCUGUCAGUGUACAAAAUAUAUUUAUUAAAACAAAAUCUUUUAAUUUAUAAAUUUCUCAAGUUCAUUAUCAUGUUUUCAUGACUAAGUUAACCGAUGAAAAAAGGCACUCAAUUGACGGAACUUUUCAACAUAAGUAGAUAACGUCCCAACAGAAUUCAGCCAAAACUUUCGUCGUCCUCUCACGUGCCCGGCGUGUGGAUUAGAAGCAUUCAGUCCUUCGCGCCUUGCGCGUUAGCUUCCCACCUGGCCUCGUUGCCAGUGUCCCAUGUGCUUCUGCUGCAUUCUCUCUUCCCGCUGCCUUCUCUCUGCAGCUUCUCUCUCUCUCUUUCUUCUGUCAUUCUUUUUCCUCUUUUCUCUUUCUCUUCUUCUUUCCACAACAAUGUUGCUCUGUCCUCUCAAUUUCUCUCUCCUUUCCUCUAGGGUUACGUACAUCCUCAUACUUUGUCCAUUCGCUCCUCCUCCUCCUCCGUCGACACACUGUCUCCCUCUCCUCUAUCGGCUCCUUUUCUACCCAGCAUCAGAGGUCCGCUUUCUUCCACUGGCCCUGGGAUUCCCCUUUCGCCUCCUUCUGCUUCAAGUUCAGCCUCGCUGUUCCCUUUUUUUUUUUUAAUACCAUUUCUCCUCCACCGCCACACCUUCUUCCUCUCAUUUAUCUCUCAGCCUUUGGGAGGCCUUUCAAUUCCAUAGCAAGAUCCUCGCCAUCAUCGGCAUCUCUCACUGCCUUUCCUCCCUAGAUCUCCAAACCCUCCGGACCCAGACCCUCGCCCUUUAUAGGCUCGGCUCCUCCAGAUCUCCAGACCAUCCUUGCUUGGAGGAAACAGAGAAAGAGAACAAUUAAAGCAUCUUCCUUUUCCCUUUUUCCUAACCCUAAGCUGACCCGCCUUUCAUCCCCGCCGCUCUUCUCACACUUCCUCUCCCUUUCCUGCCCUUUCUUCUCCCUAUCCCAUCUUACUACGUAUAGUUUACUUCUUUAUUCACCGGCACCCGAAUUCGAGUAUAAUCCUCCUUUGCCGUCCAAAACAACCUGUGGGAAGUUGGAUAAAGGUUUGCCUUUUUUUUUUCCUCAAUCGGUUUUUCAUACUCUGUUGUCUUAUCUUACGAGGUAAUGGGUCUGGAUUUGAAGCAGGUGCAUCAACGAUUGUAAGAUUUUUCUUGGUUGGGUCUUGUCAUCAGAUGCGUAAAAGGAGAGAUGGGGUUUAGUAGCUGUUUCAGUGCAUUUGGUUCUUGCAAGGGACAAAUAAAGCACAUGUGCCAUGAGGUAAGAACCAAGAAUAUUUCAAUUUUUAGUUUAGGCUUGAAUGGAGGUUUUUCUCAAUUAUUGCUAAAUUUGAGCAUGGUGAUAAUUUUGUUGAUUGGAUUUAACAGUUUACGAAUAAGUAAUUGAACCUGAAUUUAUGUUUCCCGAUUUCCAAUUUUCAACUCUAGAUAUUCCCUAGGCAAUCACAACCUUCAAGCUUCUCAUCAUAACUAUGCGUCCUUAGGAAACAUCUGUUUUUUCUAACUUGAUAAGUGGAGUCGAUCCAUGUAUUCUUAAGGUAGCUAUGUUACCCAGUUUAGAGUUGUUUGGUUCAGAAAAAGCUCCAAAGUCAGGUUUCAAUUUGAGCUUAAUCUAAGCGGGACAUAAGUGCCUUUAGCGGCUCACAACUUAGAUAACAGUUUCAGUUCAAAGAUAUAAGAACCUGAAUUUUUUUUGUGAGAUUUAUACUGCAUAUUUUAGGAUGGGUGUUAUGGUUUCAUCUGAAUAGUGCAUAUACUAAUCUACAACUCUUUUCCAUGAUUUUGUAUAUGAUCACUUCUGAUUCUCUGGUUUUCUAUCUGCUUCUGCAUGGUUAGAGCUUGCUACCAGCAAUGUUAGGCUAUUCUCAUACAACUCUUUGAGGUCAGCAACAUGACACUUUCUCUCCUCAAACUAGAAUAGGAGGCGGCAGUUUUGGAGUAGUAUACAGGAUAUGAUCAAUCUUAGUUUGUGUGUCUGCAUAAGUUUUACUUUUAUGGCAACUUUGAUUCGGAGAGUAAUAUAGAGGAGAGGAAUGAGGAACUAAGCUAUUAUGGUACCUUACCAAUAUCAUUCUUAUGUUCGGUCCUCCUCAAUUUGUUAGCUCUUCAUAGAGGCUCUUAUCCAGUUUUUUGUACUUUUACCUUCUUGCAUCUCACCUUAAAAUUACUUGUUAGAGAAUGAAACAUGGUGCAAUGAUAUUGACAUGUGUGUAAUUCCUUAUGAGCUGGUGGAUUAAAACUUCUGUUGGCUAUUGAAUAAGAUGAGUAAAUUUCUUAUAUCAAGAAUUCAACAAGAAUGAAACAGGCAGACCUUGAUAAUUGUCUACUAUAUGAUGGUUUAUAUGUGUAGAUAUGCAUUCAAGUGUCAUCGAAAAUCUGGAGCUGGAAGGGACAUUGUCUACCCCAUUGAAUUCAAUUGCAUUUCAUCUUAUAUAAGUGGUGCAUAUACAUUUAUCCACAAUAAAGAGAUUAUUGUUCAGCAGUCAUUCAUUGGAAGUUGGAUUGUAUGGCCUCUUUUUUUUUUUUUCAAGUUUUGUUAAGAAAGAAAAUCAAUGCUAAGAUAUUUCACUAGUGGAGCUGGAUCUAUUACAAUUUUCUAUUGAUUGAAUAUCUUUAGCCUCUUCUUGUAAUCUAUCUCAAAACUGAUUUAAAUAUGCAGCUAUGGUACAUUUGCUACUGGGGGUUGUGAUGGUUAUGUUAGUGUGUGGGAUGGAAACAACAAAAAAAGGCUGUAUCAGGUACUUUUUCCACACUGAAUUUGAAAUGUCUUCAACUUCAUGCUGACUGUAGACACCAAAUUUUUGGUGUAAUUUCUUUUACUUUUUAUUCUCAUUUAUCGUGGUUGCUUUUAGUUUUUUUUAGUUUCUAGUUUCUAUUUUUAUUUUUAAGUUUUAGCGUAGAAAAAUCAUGAAAAAAGAGAAAAAGGAAAAUUGUUCACAAAAUAGGUUUAUUUCUUUUUAAAUUCAAUCUUUUGACUUUAUUUAUUUUUUGGUUAGGUUAUUUCGAAAACAAAAGAAAAGUGAAAAAUGAAAAUGAAAAAUGGAAAUUUGCAUUUUUUGUUGUUUUUAGUUUAUUUUUAUCUAAUGUUAAUUAAGUUGUUUUCAUCAUUAAUUAUUAUUGUUUUAUUAUUAUCAUUUUUGUUGUUUAAUUAAUUAAUUAAAAAAUAAAAAUAAAAAUAACAUUUCCAUCUCUGCCGGAGUGCAUUCCCUUCCCUCGACACACACACUCAACCUCCACUACCGCGAAUCACUCCACUACCUCAGCCUCAACCACAAACACUCCAUCUCCAUUCUCCACCUCGUGAUCAUCGACGAGAGCAAGAGAGGGAGAACUCCUCGGAUUGAGCAGGAGAAAGGUGAAGAGAGAGCGAGCCGCGAGCUGUAUUUCUGUUCUGUCCGAGGAAGUCAAGCGAGAGAGAGAGCAAGAGGCAGUCGAGUGAGCUACUGAUCAUCACCAUCUUCACCAGUUCCAAUCGAAACACCACAGCUUCAACCAUCCGCAACCAGGACCAACACAUCCAACCGCGAGCGAGCAGAGAGGAGAGAAACAUCAGCUUUCUGUCGUCUGAGUGAGCUUUCGGUGAGCUACAACAACACCCUCUACCUUGGAAUCAUCGAAGUGAGGAAACCAGCGAGGGAGAGGGAGCUGCCAUUCCAUUUUUCACCCUCAACUAGCCGUGAUCAAUUCAGUCACAACCAUUACAGCUGCAACCACUGAAUUCAGACUAACCAUCCUCGCGUGCGUGAGCUGCCGAGAGGAAAAAUUGCAGCUGCUGUCCGUGUGAGCUUUUCAUCCAUUUCCUUUCGUCUGUAAACUAGAAAGAGAUUGGGAGCCAUAUUGUCUUCAUACUGGUCGCAAGCUAGAGCAAGGGAGAAGGAGAGUUGCGGACUGAAAUUCUGGACAGCCGAGAGUAGAGGAUUUUUGCAGCUGCUAGUUGCGUGAUUUGAGCCUUAAGCUGAGGUAAUUUCUGGACUUAAGCUAGUUGAUUAUGGCUUGAUGAAGUUGUUUAUAAGCAUGCAUGUGAGAUUGUGUGGCUAGAUGAUAGUUUAAGUCACAGAAAAAUCUGUUUGAGAAGGAAGUGAAGCUGCCGAGAGCUUGAGCUGGAAGUUUCGGUUUUUUUUUAAUUUGCUAGUUGUGAUGAUCUGAGCUUAAUUUUGAACUCAACCUGCUAAAUAGUUCUUUAUUUGGUACUGCAUGUGAACGUUAUGGGCAGGAUUUCGGUUGCAUGGCUGGAUUUUUUUUUAUUGGAAGUAUUAGACUGCUAAACUAAUUUUCCAGCUUUGCCGAGAAGCUGAAAUGGAAAUGCAAUUUUAAUUUCGUUCCCCUGAGGCAGGCUGAGCUUAUAAAUGUGAUUAACUAGCUAAGAAGUAGGUGAUUAAGCUUUGCAUGAAGUUCAUUAGUUCGGCUAAGCAAGGAAAAAAUAUGAAACAGAAAACUGCUACAUGCAAGUUCAUCCGAGGGUGGUGAACAGAAUUUCUGGAAUUGUGGAUGAUUAUAGUUGCUGACCGAACUUGAUUUGAACUAGUUAUGAUAGUAAUUUCAUUAAGUAGCCUUGCAUGUUAGUUUUGAGUACUUAGCACAAUGAUUCAACCGAGGUAAAUUCGGAUUUAAGACCAACUACCUGCUGGAAAAUGCAUAUUCAUUUUUUGCUGCACCAGAAAUUUACGGUUGUGUCUUGCUAUUUUCUUCCAUUGCGGUUCCAAACUUUGCUGUUUUUGUUAGAUAGUAAUUCCAGCCUUGACCGAAAGUUGUAGUUUGUAUGCAUGAGAAGCUUAACAGGAUUUUGAGCAUGGGUUUGUGAUUCGAAAUGCUUGAGUGCAGCUUCCAUGCGAACUGCCUAAGCUCAAAAGAUUUGUUUGCUGAAGUUUCAAACCUUUGAUGUUUUGCUAAUUUUUCUGUUUGAAUGAAGUUGCUAAUUUUUCUGUUUGUUUGAAUAAAGUUGCUAAGUUUUCUGUUUGUUGGGUCUGAAUGAAAUUGGUUGGUUUGGAAAAUUUGAUCACGGUUGUGAUUAAGAAGCUUGAGCUUGAGAAGAAAGUGCAGCAGUCUUCGGUUGCUAGAGUAUGUGAAGUAAUUGCAGAAACUUGUUUCAUGGCUAUUGCAUAGAACUUGCAUGUUUUUUCCUUCUAAAUUUUCUACCUGUUGAGGCGAUGGUGAUGACAUAGUUUGCAGCUUAGUUAAAGCUAUGUAUGUGAGCUUGAGAUCUGUUUUUUUUUGGAAAAUAAGAUGUGAGUUUGAAUUGGGUUUCGUUUGAGCAAACAUGAGAGAAAAUAUUGCAGAAACUCACUUUGAAUUUGAUUUACCUGUUUGUUUGGUUGUUAGAUUCAUGCUUUAAUGUGUUGGUUAGAAGAUUUUUCGAUCAAAAUGGUGUUAAGGUUGAGAAAAUGAAAGUCACGGUUGUCUUCUGGGUUGCCGAAAGCUUUCAGCAGAAAUUUCUGCUGCAGAAUGUUGUUUCUCAUGUUGAUUUUCACGUAGCUUGCAUGGGUUUUGCAUGAAAUAAUUUCUGAAAAUUACAUUUUUAACCCCCCAAGUCCCCUCUUGACUCACUAGGGCCCAAGUAAUUGGAACAUUUAAUCAAUUUGAUCCUUUUAAGUUUCUUUUUGUUCCACAAGAGCCCAAGCAUGUUCUAGUAUCUUGUAAUUAAGUCCUAAAAUCAUUGCAACUUCAAUCUUUGUUUGACUUUUCCUUUAUUUUUAAGAUCUUUGAAGUGCUUAAACGAUUUAUUUGGACUUGAAUGUUCGAGUAAUGCUUGUUUUGGGUCUUUAGUAGAUGCUAUAUUUGGAAAUUGAACGGGUUAUUCCGUUUUCUUGGUCUUUAAGCAUUUUUUGAGCUCAUUCAAGUUGCAAUUAGGUGGUUUUUGAUGUUUUUGCUUAUACUUUACUUUUAAAUUGAUGCCUUGACCCCUUUAUUGUUUUGAAGCCAUUUUCCUUCAUUUGCUUACCAUUAGGGGAAGGUAUAACUUUCUUUUAUCCUCUUUACUUCUCUCUUACGUGCUCCUACGUGUUACGUGAAUUGCAUGUCUACUUGGCUUUCUUAAGUUUUCUUUAAUUCCUUUCAUUUUUAAGUCUUUCUUUUAUUUAUGGGGUAUGUGUACACCUCUUGGCUUGUAAUAGAUAGGGCAUUGGAGAGCACUUUGUCCAUUUUUCCCCCUUCCCCCAUUUGUCUUAGUUAGCCCAUGUAAUAGUUUCAUUUGCUUUUGGGGUAUUAUUUGGUUUGCUAUGUGUUUAAUUUGCUUUAUUAAGCUAUUGCAUCUAGUCGAGCAUGCUAAGUGUUAUGUGCUACGUGUUAUAAGUGAUUUUGCAUGUCUACUUGCUUUCUAUAUUUAUAAAUGAAUGUGAUGGAUGAAUGUACGUUUCCACUAGUCCAACGCUAGUCGGAAUUCAUAGAAUGGGCUAGUCCAACGCUAGACCCUUAGGGACUUCCCCUCGUUAGUACAUGUUUGCAUGUUCAUUACAUGUCAUGCAUUUUUUUUAAAUUUUAUCAUUUUGCAUGCCCCUCGAACCCCUUUUCCCUCCAUUUUAGGAUUUUUGCAUUUCAUACUAGUUAUAGGGUUCAUCUGCUUGAGGGUCCCCUUAAAUAUGGGAUAUAGACGAGUGUGGCUUUUUCUAAGCCUUAGCACGCUUGUAUUCCCUCUAUAAAAGGGCAAAUUGAAUCACGAUUUAGGUCUCCCCGUAC